RNAcentral lists this long non-coding RNA (48294 nucleotides) under Brassica napus (rape). RNAcentral describes it as "long non-coding RNA (BNAP_LNC024323)". The record is from RNAcentral. Lineage: Eukaryota; Viridiplantae; Streptophyta; Magnoliopsida; Brassicales; Brassicaceae.
UCAAUUUCAAUUUCGGUUUAAAGGCAUAACUUAAUCAAUACUAUUAAAAUAGAAGGCUUUUUUUAAAGUACCCUCAUGUUUUAACAAUAUUUACAAGACAGUGCCACUAGAUUAUUUUUAAGCUACGAUUUUAAUUAAAUGUUUUUUUUUUGUUUUUUCCAUAAAUCGCAGAUAACCAUCUCCUAAUUCUGUGUGAUCUUUUUCUACUUCUUUAGUUAAUUUACAAAGUGUAGUUAUAAUUUAAAUACAACUAUCCUAUCCUUGCUAUAUGAAUUAAGAGUUAUUCUUGGGUUCACGCCUAGGGUGAACCUCUAGAUUCACCAACCAAUAGGAUUUUAUUAUUUCAAAUUCGAUAUCUUUUAAAAAAGGAAAUAAAAUAUUGUCAAGUUAUAUUAUGUUUUUAAAAUAAAAAGUAAAAAAAAAUUAGUAGUUACAGAAAAAAAAUUAAAAAAAUAUAUUUUUAACGUCGUCAGCAAAACACUAAACCCUAAUUCCUAAUCCCUAAACCCUAAAUCCUAAACCCUAAACCCUUGGGUAAACCCUAAACCCUUGGGUAAACCCUAAACCCUUGGAUAAAUCCUAAACUCUAAAUAAAAACACUAAACCCUAAAACGCUAAACCCUAAAUCCUAAACCGUAAACCCUAAACCCUUGAGUGUUUUAGUGUUUAGUGAUUUUGAUUUAAAGUAAGAUUUAUCCUAGAGUUUAGAGUUUACCCAAGGGUUUAGGGUUUAAGGAUUAGGAUUUAGGGUUUAAUGUUUUGCUGACGACGUUAAAAAUAUUUUUUUUGUAAUUGCUAUUAUUUUUUAUUUAUUUCUUUUUAUCUUUUAAUUUUAAAAAAGAUAAUAUAAUUUGACAAUAUUUUGUUUCCUUUUUUAAAAGAUAUUAAAUAAGAAAUAACAUAAUUCUAUUGGUUGGUGAACCUCUAGGUUCACCUUAGGGGGUGGAUCCAAGAAUAAGUUAUGAAUUAAGACUUUUUCUUGGGUUCACCCCCUAGGGUGAACCUUUAGGUUCACCAACCAAUAGAAAGUUGUCAUUUUAGAUCUAGUGUCUUUUAAUUAAGGAAACAAAAUAACUUGCCAAAUUAUAUUAUGCUUUUAAAAUAAAAAAUAAAAAAUUAAAUAAAUAAAAAUAACAAUAGUUCUAAAAAAAGAUUAUUUAAAAAAUAUAUUUAUUUUUAAGAUUUAGAGUUUAGUGUUUAAGAUUUAUAAUUUAGAAUUUAUCCAAAUGUUUAGUGUUUUUCCAAGGGUUUAGGGUUUACCUAAGGGUUUAGGGUUUACCCAAGGGUUUAGGGUUUACCCAAGGGUUUAAGGUUUUCCCAAGGGUUUAGGGUUUAGGAUUAGAGUUUAGGGUUUAGUGUUUUGUUGACAACAUGUUUAGUGUUUUUCCAAGGGUUUAGGGGUUUACCUAAGGAUUUAGGGUUUACCCAAAGAUUUAGGGUUUAGGAUUUGAGUUUAGGGUUUAGUAUUAGAGCUUAGGGUUUAGUGUUUUGUUGACAACAUUUUUUUUUUUUGAAUUCGUUUUUUAUAUAUUAUUUUUAUUUAUUUUUAAAUUUUAUUUUGAAAAAAUAAUAUAAUUUGCAAGUUAUUUGGUUUCCUUAAUUAAAAGAUACUAGAUUUAAAAUGACAAUUUUCUAUUGGUUGGUGAACCCAAAGGUUCACCCCCUAGGGUGAACCCAAGAAUAACUCAUGAAUUAAUAUACAUCGAAUGUUUAAAACCUUUGGUUAACUCGGUUUUUAUAAAUUUGUGCGCGCAGACCAACUGCGUAUCUACGCUUUAGAGCAAAAUGUACGGAAGGCAGAGAAAGAUAAUAAUAAUUACGUAGAGCUUUGAUUCAAACAUGGGAAUACAAGGUCAAAGAAUCAAAUGAGGAUUGAAAAUGUUGGUCACACAAAACCUACGACAACAUGUUCCUCGAGGUACAAUAUUUUAUACACGAACUUCGUGUUUUAGUUUGUUUGCUUGGUUUUGAUUAGAUUAUUUACUUUGGCUAUAAUUGAUGAUAUUAUCAGAAUUAUUUUCUCUGCAAGCUUCAACACUAACAAUUACUUAUUCAGAUACAGACGAAACUAUAAACUACCUAUGGUCUGUUUUUUUUUAAAUUCAUGACUUAUUUAAUAAUAUUAAGUUAAAAUUUUAACAGUUGGGUAUAAAAAAUAGCAUCUUUUGAAUAAACUUUUAUAUACAAAAUUCCAAUAUUUUUAUAAAAUAACGAGAUUGACAAUAAAGAUUUUGUUGUUGUAACUUAAUACAUCUCGAAAAUCAGAAAUAAUAUAUUGUUGUAACUUAAUAUAUCUCGAAUAAUCUAUAUCCCUAGAAUAUUCCUAAUUAUAAAUGAUUUUAAUAUGUUUACUAUCCUAUUAAUUUUCGAGCGAUAAGAAGUAUAUAAAUAUCGAAUCAAACACAACAAAUAUAAUCAUUAUAAACCUUCAAACUCUCCUAUUAAUUUUCGAGCGAUAAGAAGUAUAUAAAUAUCGAAUCAAACACAACAAAUAUAAUCAUUAUAAACCUUCAAACUCUCCUAUUAAUUUUCGAGCGAUAAGAAGUAUAUAAAUAUCGAAUCAAACACAACAAAUAUAAUCAUUAUAAACCUUCAAACUCUCUACCUUAAUCUACACUUAUGAAUUCCGUUAUCAAAAUCAGCAACUUGAGUGAUGUUAAGACUUUCAAAUAUGCACGGAGAUUCCAGGUUAUUGUGGUUCAUACAUGUAAGUCAAACAAUCCCGAAAAUGGUUAUUCUCUUGAGAUGGUCUUAACAGACGAAAAUGUAAGCUAUAUUCACUACCUAUCGUCUAUUUUAACUAUGUUUAAUAUAUGAACUUCAGCGUCAUUUUUACAGACGAAAAUAUAAGCUACAUUCACUACCUAUCGUCUAUUUUAACUAUGUUUAAUAUAUGAACUUCCCUACCGUCGUUUAGAUGGAUUAUGUUUCGUUUCUCUUUCUUGAAUCUAUUUAGUAUCCUGAUCUGCUUUUGUCAGGCUUUGCUUUUGUUCAAUGUGCUUCAUCUAUGGCUAUAAAUAGAUUUCUUUCAUAUGAGUAUCGGUCUUUGCUCGGCUUAUGAGUAAAGUAUCUCUGUUUGGAAAAAAAAUUAAUGGAUUUGGAGUUGCUUUUUUUGAUCCAGGUGAGAAUCAGAGGCUGGCAUUCUUCGAUGGGAACGGUCCGACAAUGUGUCUCUCUUUAGAUCUAUCAGAUUUUCCUCUAUUUUGAUCUCUGGCGAGUCAAGUUCUUCAGUCCAAAAGCAUUUAUUACGGGCAAAAGAGAUGUUGCUCUGGGAGUACAGGGAUAUGGAGGAUCGUGGCUUACGGAAGAGACGAAGACAUCACCAGUGGUUCGAUUUCAGGGAGGACUUCCCGUCGGUAGACCAAAACAGAUUUGUUUGCCACGUAACAAGCUCUAUUAUUAGUGGUUCUCACGUGUUUUAAAAGCAAUUCUGGCCUCUAGACUUAACAACUUUGUACUCUCUUUUUUUGACACAUAGCAACUUUGUACUCAUUUCCUGGAUUUUGAGCUUUAUAAAAUGAUAUGUUGACAAAAAAAUGUAAAAUAUGAUCUACCUACAAGCGAUCGAGCUAUACUUUUCUCUUCAAUCCUUUUUCACAUUUACUCAUGAUUAACAUUAUUUAUAUUAUAGUUUCUCAUAAACCUUCUUCUCUAUUAACUUUAUAGAAACAAUGUUUCUUUCCGCAGACUACAAUGAUAUAUAAACAUACUUUUCAGAAUUUUAUACAUGAGGUAACAGUGGUUUCCAACUUAUUUGAAUCUGUUGCUAGAUGAAAUGAGUAAGAUGAUAAAUAUGAACUAUGAAGUAGUCUAUACAACCAAUCUUUCAUAGAUAUAUCUCUAUCAUUGUUAGCUUUCAUAUUAUUACAACCAGCCCAUAUGGUUUAGCUUUGAUCAGCCAACAAAAUUAAAUAUAUUCCCAUAUUAAUAUCAGGUGUAAAUAUGGAGACAUGUUUGAAACUCCACGAAUUUUGUUAGUAUCUUAGAAAAUAUUACCAUCCACAAAAUAUAGGAACUUCCAUAAUCUCCUACAGUUAUAAUAUCCUAUCAGUAUUUUGUGCAGUUCAAGAAAUGUAUUCGUAAGCUAUAUAUGUAUUAUAGAUAUUAUCAUACCUAACAUUUUUUUUAUGAUAUCAAUGUUUCAAGAAAAGUUCAGUCAUGUAUUCUACAAAAUCAUUGUUUUAGAAAUGACAACAGUAAUAAAUACUUAUUUUGUUUCAAAAUGGUACAUAUUUUGAGAUUUUCACACAUGUUAAUAAAGCAUAUUAAAUCUUAGUAUUAAAUGUAUAUUUUUUUGUGAUUAACUAUUUUACACAAUUCUUAACCAAUCAAAAUUCAAUUAAUUUUUUUGAAGUUUACAAUUUACCAUUAUUAUUUAAUAAAAAUUGCACUGGAAAGAAAAAAAAAAUAUUUUUGAAACAAAUUAUAAACCGUCGAUUAUACAGAAGUUAUUUGAAAUUCACAAAAAAAAAGAUUAUACCAACAAAUUUAUGCUUCGGCAUAUAAAUUGAAACCAAAAUCGAACUGAAACGAAACAAGAAAAGAGAAACCAAACAAAAAAUAACAAAACCAAAACUUAAUCAAUGCUCACAGAUAUUUGAAUGGUUUAUAUUUCUCUCGAACAUAAAAGCCAAAAUAAGACCGAGAAUCGAAUGGGUACCCAAAUCUCCAGAAUACAGUUUAUAUACCUAAAACCAUUGAUAUAUUUAGAUUUAAAAUUAUCACAUAUUCUAAAUACUAAUUAUAAACCGAUUUAUCCAAAAAGCAAGUGACUCUUUUAUACAACCAUGCCUUUGCCUUAUUUAAAAUCUAUAUUUUUUAAUUACUGAAGUUAUUCCAUGACAUACCUUUUAUUUCAAUAAACUAUAUAUUACUUGAUUCCUUUUCCUUUUCAACGGAAAUACUUAAACCCUUUCUAAGUUUACAUAAUUAUAAUUAAUUAUAUUCUUCAAAUAUAUGUCAUCAAAUAAUUGUAAACGUUUCAUACAUUAGUAAAGAAACUAUCUAUAAUAUAGGCAACAUCUAUCUAUAUAUAUAUAUAUAUAUAUAUAUAUAUAGAUGUUGCCUAUAUUAUAGAUAGUUUCUUUACUAAUGUAUGAAACGUUUACAAUUAUUUGAUGACAUAUAUUUGAAGAAUAUAAUUAAUUAUAAUGCCACACAGGCAUCCACAUAGGAAAGUUGAAGUCCCAGGCGUUGACACGUGUCCCGCACAUACAAAACGCUACACUUAAGUCACCUUACGCAACGCAUCAUUUCAUUUUUUUUUUAUCAAACCAUACUUCCAUUAUACUGAAACGAGUUUAAACUCCAUUAUAGGAGUAUACAACAAGGCCAUAGCAAGCCAAACAGACAAAUAAACUGACUGAAUAAUAGAGAGAUAGCUUAAGAAAACAACUUACAAAAGAAGGCCAUAAAAACUGCAUAACAACAAUUUCAUAGGCUUUUUGACAAAUUGCAUCCAGUGUAACCCAAAGGGUCACAAUCACUGCCUCAAAGGCAGAAAAAUGCACUAGCUGGGAGGAAAAUCCUUGCAAUACCAGCAAUGCUUGUUCAUCCAAUUCGCUCCAUACAUGAGGAAAUAUUGGGAAAAUAGACUGCUCCAGACAGGAAACACCCAAGAGAAAAGUACUCGUCUCAACCGGCUUCAACAGAAGGAAUACCAUAGAUAGUGUUUCUUCGAUCUGCCACCAAGAAGAAACACACACCAACAUAGCACAAAGAGCCAGAUUGAACACAAGAAACAAACUGCAUACUGCAGUAGAGAUUGGCACUGAGGCCAUAUAGAUGCUACUAACGAGCACAAGAGUAGAAUCUAAGGAGAAAGACUCCAUCGGAACAUCACAAAUUAAGACCAGGAUCCACAUAUCCAGUGCCUCCCAUACAACCCGUGUUUCAUACCAUUCAACAGAAUAAUGAACCGAGAGUGAAGCGCAGAGGCAAACCUGGAAGAGAACAUCAGGACAUGAUCGAAAAGGAGACCACACUGUGCGCCGGUGGUAUAACAAACUGCAUCCAGCAGUACAUCGACGCCCAGAGACAAAAGAUGAGACACCAACAGACAAGUGAUGAGUGUCUCCGCCUCUCAUCUUACUCGUCAAAAUUGGCGAAUGAGACUCCAGAUCUUGGAUUUUGGGAAACGCAUGGGAUGAAAGGCUGGCGGCGGCGUUGAGGAAUUGAAACAGAGCGAGAACAGAGGAAGCGUCGGGAGGGUCUGGUGGGUCCGGCGGAAUGGUGGGAGAAAGAGAUUCAAACCAAAAAAAAGCUUACAUGGUGGUGGGUCGGGAAGAGGCCUGAAACGCGACGGGGCAGGAGCAGUCAUCAUCAGGAGCAUGGCGGAAGAGAAGAUCUGCUUCAGGAGGAGGAAGGCUGAACGGCGGAGUUGAAGCGGAUGAGAUCCGUCAAAGCGGCGUGCAUAGGAAAAUGGGCCUGAAAGGUUUUACCUAGGGCGAACUUACGCAACGCAUCAUUUCAUUAAUACUAUAAUUUUUGUGUUUGUUGGGCUUAUUGUUUUAGUGUUUUACCCAUAAAACUUCGUUACACGGCGGCGCCUGUUCUGCUUCUCCGAACUCUGAAACUGCUCGAGUUAUGGUUUUAUAAAUAUGUCAGUACUUCUCCUCCUCAAAUCAUAUGUUUCUCCUAUUUUAGUAUACAUAUUCACGGUGAUAUGUCUAAAUCGAUGAUGUUUUGGUCCGAUUUGAAGUCCGGUAAGUUUAUCCCCAUAUCUUGAUAAUCGUGUUUUCAAAUUAUUCCGUCGAUCAUUUCCAUGUUUGUUGAUACUAAGAUUUCUGAACAUGGAUGUCUCAGGCGACUAUAACGCAGGCCACCAUUAAUGCUAACCGGCGUCCAACAUUCCGACCUAGACUCACGGCCGGUUCGAUGUGUUCAACAGCCGGUACUAUGAUAGGGUUCGUGUUUUACAAAAAUGUUAAUAAAUCUGUAACUGUCGAAUAAAUACACAUCAGCAAUCACUAUUAUGUUGAUAAUCAGAGCCAUUGUAGCUAAGCCUUUCAUUGCAGUACCCUUAGAUCUGUGAGAAAUGCUCUGAGUAAUGGUGAACAAAACAGAUAGAAGAGUUCGAGGAUCUGGGUCCAGCGAGUUGAGUAGUAACACAGAAAAAAGUUUGGGCGCUCACAGCCUGACAGAGCACACCAAACGUUCACGUUGACACGAGAGUCUCGAGCUCCGGUUCGUAUUGCUUAUCAUUUUUAUUUUUUUUUACGAAGAAUUUUACUUUGAGUUCAUCACGACUUAUAACAUUUCCGAACAUACAUUUUCAUCAGGUGAUCAUACCGACAUUGCAUCACAAUUAUCUCACGUGAGGUCCCGAUCAUUAAUUAAGAGGAAAUCAUAUGGCACAAACAUGAUUCUUAUCAUGCCCACGAGCAUGCGAGCUCAAAGAACUUGGAAAGAGAUGCACUAAAUGUUUUUACUAUAAGGAGAUUGAGAAGUUUUUGGAGUUGGUGUACCGUGGCUAGUAUCCGCCGAAGCUUUACGUUCUUAUUUAUUUUCCGUUAUCACUCACGUUUCUUUACGUUCAGUUUCCUUUUAGUUUUUUUUUUUUUUGAAUUUUCUGCUAUCUCUCCUUAUAUAAUCUAAUGAUUUCAACUCCCGUUUUAGUCUGAAAACUUUUAUUUAAAAAUAAAAACCAUAUACGAAAAACAUGAGAGGGUUGAGAAUUGACGUCGAACGUACAUAUAUAUCUUGCGAAGCACUUAUAUAUAAAUACAAGAGAAAAAGAUAAAAAUAGCACUAAAUCAAGUUUUUGUUCUCAAAGUAGCACUCAAGGUCAAAAGUCACAAAAAUAGCACUUAAUGUUUUAUCAAAAGUCACAAACUUAGGGUUUAGAGUUAAAGGGUGUGGUUUAGGAUUUAGGGUUUAGGGUUUAGAGUUUAGGGUUUACGGUUUAGAGUUUAGGGUUUAGGGUUUAGGGUUUAGGGUUUAGGGUUUAGGAUUUAAGGUUUAGGGUUUAGGGUUUAGAGUUGAGAAAUGAGGUUUUGGGGAUAAGAUUUCAAAUUUUGAAAAAUAAAAAAAUUAAAAUUUUCAAAGGAUAAACUUAGAAAUGUGCUAUUUUGGUCAUUUUAGUUUUUGAGUGCUAUUUUUGUGAUAUUAACUUAAAAAUGUGCUAUUUUGGAGAUUUGCCCUAAAUACAAUUCAGAACCGAAUAAACCACCUCAUAUAAUAAUGGCGUGAUCACGUAACACAUUGAAACUUGACCACGCGCCCGACGCGCCCGACGAUUUUCUCUCGACAAAGCAAAAACGAGAUCUCACUCGUUUUCUCUCCACCGGCGUCUCUCCCGACGUCGGUCGCCACCGCCGACCAUGACGAAGAAGAAGAAGCCCAAAGACAAGCCACCCCGCAUCAACCCCUCUGUUUCCACCGCCUCCUCCACCGGUCCUGCCGCCUCCGCCUCCGCGUCCAUUCCCAGCUCCCCUCCAUCGGUUAAGUCUACAGACCUCGCCGAAUCAAAGCUACCUGGUCCUAUUAAUGCUCCAGCUAGCUCCUGCCCUGCAGAUUUGCCAAGUUUCCCACCUCUCGUUGUUGAUGAGUACGGAAAACCUAGCUCUCAAACCUCAGCUAUAGAACUUCAUGUACCUGAGAAAGGAACAAAUGAGGCUACCUCUGAGCAUCCUGGCUCUAGAGUGCACCCUCAAUCCGUUGAACAGCCGGCUGAUGUCGUACCCUGUUCACCUAAAACAAACCUGCAGCUUCACAACCAACAGGGAGCUAAGGUUCAAGCGUCUCUUUGGAAAGAGAAAGUCAGUCCAAACUCCGGAAGAUUGGACCCUGAAGGAUCGUCGUUUAUACUGGACUCAGGAGAGGCUUGCGUCACGAUACCAAAUUCUGUGAUUGAGCGUAACAAGAAGGCCUGGGAUAGCUUCAUAAUCGGUUAGUUUUAUGAAGAGGCACCGGCUCGAGGUGCUGUCCAUGCUAUUGUCAAUGGUAUAUUGAGUAAACACAGACGCGAUAUCUCGGUCUCGAAGAUGGAAGUAAAUGCUUUCCUUUUCCGGGUUCCCUGUCCGAACGCUCGCCGCCGCAUUCUUAAGCAAUGCCUCUGGCAAGUAGACGGCCAAACAAUGUUCGUCGCAAAGUGGUCACCAGGGAUUACGCCUGAGAAGCCAUCUUUGGCGUCUGUUCCUGUUUGGUUGGACUUUGUUGGGGUCCCUCUGCAGUUCUUCAACAGAGACGCCCUUAAGGAAAUUGCAGGUCUUGUUGGUCACCCAAUUUGCUUGCACCCCUCCACUGAAAACCUUACAAACCUGGAGGUAGCUAAGGUCUACACUGUCAUAGACCCACGGAAGCCACUACCAGAAGCGGUGAACGCCCGUUUUGAGUCAGGGGAGGUGAUUCGUAUAACAGUAUCUUGUCCCUGGUUGCCGUCUCUUUGUUCUCACUGUUCUCAAGUGGGUCAUACGAUCUCGAAAUGCCCUGCUGCUCCGCCACGGUGUGAAAUUUGCCGCUCAGUCAAACAUGCUACUUCAUCUUGCACUAGGACGAAUGCAAAUUUAGACCUCUCCAGGAUAAAUACUGACAAGCGCAAAGGUAAAGCUCCAAUCAAGAGCCAACUACCAAUCGUUGGUAUUGGGAAUAGUGACAUUAGGCGUGUUGGGAAUGCUCCUAAAACUGCUCCCAAAACCGCUUCCAAACCCAAGAAGGUGCCAACCAAGGAGUGGGUUCCUACUGAUAGCAAUAAACAAGACCUUCCUCGUACCAGUGGUCUCCCGGUGAUUGCUCAAAGUUCCAAGGUUCCUACCGACACAGGCUCUACUCCAACCUUCAAGAAAAAUAUUUCUGGUUCUAGAAAUGAUAUUGCUCUGGGGGAUUUCAUGGUGGACCUGCACUGUGGUGGUUUAGGAAGUCUAGCCAAGUCCCCUGCCGUAUCCAGCUCUGAUGAGGAUGACCAGAGUUCAGAGGGCUUGUCUAACGAGGAUGAUGACCCGGAUGAUGAAGGAGAUCAGUAUAUUCAGGUGAUUUCUCGUUGCUCUCGUAAGAAGAAUAAAGGAAAUGCUAGGGUCAGGGGCCCUUUAAAGCUCUGAUUUUUUUUUUUACCCUCUAUGGAUAUUUUUUGCUGGAACGUUAGAGGGUUCAACGAUAAAACUAAACGUCGCGGUUUUAGGAAGUGGUUACGAUUAAAUAAGCCAAUCUUCGGUGGCCUGUUGGAGACUCAUGUUGGUCCGCCUAAGGCUGCAUCUCUCAUCAACAGGGUUUUCCCCGGGUGGCAUUUCGAAUGUAAUUAUGAAUUCUCGGAUUUAGGUAAAAUUUGGCUUCUGUGGCAUCCUUCUGUUUCUGUUUCGGUGCUCCAGAAGUCUCUUCAAUGCAUCACGUGUUCGGUUAAGCUUCCUUUUGUCUCCACCGAGCUUGCUGUUACUUUUGUUUACGGCUCUAAUGAUAGGAAAAUUCGUCGUGACCUGUGGUCAGACUUGUGUUUCCUCUCCUCUUCUCCUAGCAUCACCCAACGUCCUUGGACUGUCCUAGGAGACUUCAAUCAGAUUCUGGACCCCUCAGAUCAUUCAAAAGCUGCGGUCAUCUCUUCCUCUCGGGGUAUGCGUGACUUCCUCAACUGUAUUAUCUCUACUGAUUUGUCUGAUCUCCCUUACUGUGGCAACGAAUUUACUUGGUCCAACAACCAAGGUGAAAGUGUGAUAUCCAAAAAGCUGGACAGAAUUCUCGUUAAUGAUGGUUGGUUGAGGCUAUUUCCAAACUCACUUGGUGUCUUUGGGGAUCCUGGCAUCUACGACCACAGCCCCUGCUGUGUUUUUCUUGAUACUACCAGACCCAAGGCAAAGGCCCCUUUCAAAUUCUUCUCAAUGCUUAAUGAUAACCCAGAUUUUGCGCCUCUAAUAGCUGAGUGCUGGUCUUCCCUGCCUUUCCAUGGCACGAUGAUGCUUAGAGUUUCAAAGAAACUCAAGGAACUCAAGAGCAUUAUUAGAGCUUUCAGCCGAGAGAAUUACUCGGGAAUUGAAAAAAGAGUAACUGAAGCUUUUGAAGAGCUCUCUCAGUGUCAACAGAUUGUUUUGUCUUCUCCAACGCCAACGGCGAGCUUAAAUGAGAGAAUUGCUCAUGGCAAAUGGGUCAACCUUGCUCGGGCGGAAGAGUCAUUCUUUUUCCAGCGGUCUCGUGUAACAUGGCUUGACAAAGGAGAUGUUAACACUACCUUUUACCACCGCCAGGUCAGAACAAGACUAUAUCAGAAUCAGGUUAUUUUCUUGCAGGAUGAUUAUGGUAAUGUGGUUAAUUCGAAGGAGGAUAUUAUGAACCUGGUUGUGUCGUAUUACGAGAAUCUAUUUGGCGGUGUCUCUCCUUCCACUGACUCUUCUCUGGAGGACUUAUCUCAGUUAAUCUCCUACAGAUGCUCCCCUUCAGUUAAGGAAUCGCUGGAAGCUCCGUUUACAAGCUUGGACAUCCAAUCAGCUUUUUUCUCUUUACCGAGGAACAAAGCGUCGGGUCCGGAUGGCUAUCCAGCAGAGUUUUUUACUCAUCAUUGGAAAGCAGUGGGGCCUGACUUGUUUAUGGCUAUCCAGGAAUUCUUCUCCUCAGGGAAAAUGUUACAGCAGUGGAAUGCAACCAUUCUAACUCUCAUCCCCAAGAAGAAAAAUGCAGUGCUUGUCUCUGACUUUAGACCAAUUUCAUGUUGCAACACGGUGUACAAAGUCAUUUCCAAGCUACUUGCAAACCUGCUGAAACAAAUACUUCCGUCAGUAAUCUCGAAUACUCAAUCUGCAUUUAUUCCGGGAAGACUACUGGUGGAAAAUGUUCUUAUGGCCACCGAGCUUAUUCAAGGUUACAACUGGAAAAAUAUUUCCAAGCGCUCUCUUCUCAAGGUUGAUCUGAAGAAGGCAUUUGAUUCUCUUAAUUGGGACUUUAUUUUGAUGCUUCUCAAGGCGCUUUGUUUCCCUGAAUCUUUCAUCAACUUGAUUGCUCAGUGUAUCACAACAACCAGGUUCUCAGUUUCGGUAAAUGGCGAGCUAGGGGGAUAUUUUAAAGGUUCUCGCGGCCUGGUCAAGGUGACCCCCUCUCCCCAUAUCUCUUUGUCCUAGCUAUGGAAGUGUUCGCACAGCUCCUGAACAAGAACUUUGUAAAUGGUGACAUUGGCUACCAUCCAUCAGCGAAUGAUCCGGCUAUCUCUCAUCUAGCAUUUGCGGACGACAUAAUGGUUUUCUUUGAUGGAGAACAGAGCUCUCUUCAGCAAAUAGCAGCAACCUUUCAGAGCUUUGCUUCUUGGUCGGGCUUACAUAUGAACAGGGCCAAAACUGAACUGUAUGUGGCGGGGUUGAGCCAGACGGAAACCGCAGAUUUGGCAAGUCUUGGCUUCUCUCUGGGAUCACUUCCUGUCCGCUAUCUUGGUCUCCCUCUAAUGCAUCGAAAGCUCCGUAUCUGCGACUACAGGCCACUUAUGGACCAGCUUAAAAGGCGCUUCUCCUCCUGGACCUCCUGUGCUCUUUCCUUCGCAGGGAGACGCCAAUUACUUAACACUGUCAUUGCUGGUACCCUAAACUUCUGGUUUUCAUCCUUUGUUCUUCCGAAGGGCUGUAUUAAGGCUAUUGAAUCCCUAUGUUCUCGGUUCCUCUGGAAUGGAAACAUCACUAGUAAAGCGGCAGCAAAGGUUUCUUGGAAUGUGGUAUGUCUCCCUCGUUCUGAAGGUGGUCUAGGACUUCGAAACCUCAGCAUAUGGAACAAAACUCUUUCCCUUAAGCUGGUCUGGCUUCUUCACAGUGAGUCUGAGUCACUUUGGGCCUCCUGGACUAAACACCACCGACUUAAAGGACUCAGCAUUUGGAGCUUAGAUGAAAAGAAGCAGGGGUCUUGGAUCUGGAAAUCUAUUUUGAAGCUCAGGCCACUUGCUGAAAAUUUCCUAAGGUGUGAAGUUGGCAAUGGGGAGCAAGCUAGUUUCUGGUUUGAUUUUUGGCUACCGAUAGGCCCUCUGAUUAACUUGCUGGGUUUUGACGGACCGCGGCAACUUGGUGUCCCCAUUCAUGCCAAAGUGGCAGAUUGUUGCUCCAACACUGGUUGGAUUCUGAGACCAGCAAGGUCUCCGCAGGCAGAGCAGCUCCAUAUCAUCUUGUGCUCCGUCCAGCCUCCUUCACAUUCAUCAGUGCGAGACUGCUACAAGUGGUACGUUGAUGACCUCUACUUAGACUCUUUCAACACUGCUAGAACUUGGGAAUCUGUUAGAGAUAGGUCCAGUACUGUUGAUUGGGAAUCAGUGGUUUGGUUUGGUGGCCACGUUCCAAGACAUGCCUUCCACAUGUGGGUUACUCACUUAGAUAGGUUGCCAACAAGAUCUCGCAUUGCAGCUUGGGACCAUAACGUUGAGAAUUCUUGUCUCCUCUGCAACGGGCUGGACGAAAACAGAGACCAUCUUUUCCUCCGCUGCAGGUUUAGUGAGCGUCUUUGGAAAAUGAUCAUUCGAAGGCUUGGCUAUCAACCCUUCUUAUUCCACACUUGGACAUCGCUUAUAGAAUGGCUUCGCAUGAAGGAUUCUACUUGCCCUCAGACUCUAGCUGGCUGCUCAUGCAGUCAUCUAUCACCUGUGGCUUGAGAGAAACAACCGUUUGCACAAUGCAGUCUUCUCGUCUACAGACCGCAUCUUCAAGGACAUAGAUCGUCAUAUCAGAAACACGAUCCAAGGAAGGGGAGGAAGAAGUUUCAUUCUCUUAUCUGCACUUGGCUGAGAUUCUCUUAGCUAUGUGUUAGUGCUGUUGAGUUUUUAUAAACUCUCCUAGAAAAUCCUGUGAUGUUUUUUAUCUUUUUUUGGCAUCAUUUGAUUUAGUAGCUUUAACCUUUUGUACAUGUACAAACAAUGUUUCAUUUUUAUGAUAAUUCACAUACUUAUAAAAAAAAAAAAUAAUAAUGGCGUGAGGCUUCUAAAAAUUCAAAAGAUUUAGGGCUGAUAUGUUGUGCCUCGAUAGUUGAAUUAUUAGUUACUGUAUUUGUGGUUUCAUGCUUCUAAAAUAUAUUAUCUUUAAAUAUUAAAAAAAAAUGGAAAAUGACACAGUUUGUAAAUAUCAUGUGAAGCUUCUACAUUCUGUUAUUCUAUAAUACUUUUGAAAAUUAUAAUGCAGCCAUUAAUACGCAUUUCAGCAGCUGGAAUAUUAGCUACUGUAUAGGUUCUAACAGAACAAUGCGUUCAUCCCACCAGCCUAUAAAGCAUAACAUUACAUAUAAAAACAAAACGACCACAAAAAAGAGGUUAUAAUCUAUGCACGUAACCGCUGCGACAACUAUAAUUCACUUACUGCAGAUAUUUAACAUUAUGAUCCCAUAAAUUUCACAUUACAUGAACACACCAUAAAUAAUUAGUAGUUCUAAAAACCAAACCCUAUAAAAUUAUAAGAAUACUUACCCAAGAUUACAUACAAAUGAUUUAAUUUUAUCAAUUGAACUGAAGAAUUUUAUAGGUUUAACUUUAGAUAAUUGUUAUGCACAUUUGUCCAUCUGAAAUAACGUUGGUCACAUAUUAUUCCACUAUUAAUAGGCAGAGUAGCACAUUUAAAUUGCAACUAAACAUAAUACAGAAAACAAAUAAAAAAUAUAAGACAAAAGUACCAAAAAGAUACAAUUGUUAAAUAUGACCCUUCUUCUCCCUAAAUUAAAUACCCUCCCUCAAAAAAGAUAAAACCAGAAAAAUUAUUUAAAAAGAAAAAUCUCAUACAAAGUUCAAAAAAAAAAAAAAGAAAAUCUCAUACACAUUUGAUCAAUACAAUCUGGCUACAAUACUGAGAAUGCCCUCAUAUUAUUUUAGGUUAUUUUAUUUGGGAUAUGGUAUAUUGGUAUUCACAAAACUAAUCAUUCCACGUACUCCCAUACCCACCUAAGCAUACCUGAAUCUCACUGGAAGAGCCUAAGCUUGAUGGUCCAAGUUUGCCAGAAAAUAAAUUGGAAGCUCAGGUCUCGAACCUUGAUUUGGUUGGUCAGACUGUUGUUCUCAAAGAAGUCGACAGGAGUUACAUGAGAGUUACAGGUCGGGAUCGACAUCUGAGUCAAAUCUAGAAAGGAGAGCUUUGAUCGAUUAAAGAGAUAUGAAUGAGAUUCGCGAAUCUCUCUUAAGCUGACUCAACCGAAUAUGGAUGUGCUUUCCAUGGAGAUAAAAUCGUCGGAGGAAUACAAAAAUUAGCGACGGGAGACGCAUCGGGAUCGACUGGAUUUUUGACCAUCCGGUAAGUCGGGCCUCUAUAGAUAUGACAACAAGUCCUCACUGAGUCGCUGAUAUUGUCAUCGCAACAAAAUCAGAUAAGGAAUAAGAAGCUUAGCUUAAUUCAAUCUCAGAUGGAGACUAAAGAUUGUUGGAGAUAUUUAGAUUUGAAGUUCUGUUGAGACAAAACAGUGGCAAUGGAUUUGGUGCUAGGAUGAGCUUGGAGGUUAACGAAGAUGAGGAAAAGAUUAGGUAUGAAGAAUAGAUGAAGACGAUUGCUCAAAAAAAAAAGAAUAUAGGAAGACAAAGGAGAUUUUGUUUGAUUCUUGGUGUCGAAAGAGAAAAAAAAUAGGUUAGAGUUGGUCAGGUGACUGUUAGUGGGCUUUGGCUCUAGCUUUGUUACAGCAGCCCACUCCAAAGUCCACUUCUAGAUACCUGCACAAAGACGAGUUUGUUAAUUUUGUACGUAAAAAUAGAAAAAUAGGAUGCAAGUCAUACGAAUUUACGAACUUUAAAAGAUAUAUGUUUCUCUUUAAAAGAUAUUUAAAACAUAAAGGUCGUACUUUCAUAAAGCACAUAAAUCACAUAUAUGUUUCUCUUUAAAAGAUAUUUAGAACGGGUUCACAUUUCAUCAAAUCAAAGUUUAAGAAAAUUUUAAAUAAGUGAAUAUGUCAGUUUUCUUUUAAAUCAUUAAAAUCAAACCAACAAAAUAUUAAGAAAAACCACAACAGAUAAUUGGAAAACAUAUAAACCAGAUAUAACAAAAAAAAUAUAAGAACAAAAAAAAGAAAAAAGUUUGUAUUAAUAUAACAAAAAGAUUUAUUCAAAUAAAUGUGUUAAAAAAACUCAUGAAUUCCAAAACAAAAUUAACCAUAAAUUCUAUACUGAUAUAAUCAUAAUUUUUUUUAUAUAUUUGCAUGGCCAGAAGUAUAGAUGUAAUACAAAAAAAUGACAAAAUAAAUAAAAGUAUAAAUAAAUUAAGAUAACCUAAAACAAAACUAAUCAAUAGAUAUAUAUGCAACACCAAAAUAAGUUUAAUUAUAAAAUUUAGUUAAUAGCAACAAGAUUGGAUUGAGUUCCUAACAUUAAACAAUUUUAACACAUAAAAUAAAAAAUAUAACAACAAUUAUAAAAACAAAAAUAAUAAGAAAAUUAUUCCCGCGCGUAGUUCCAUUAAAAAUAUAUUUUUGAAAUUUUGAAAUUGCUUUUGGAGAUGUUCUUAACACAAAACAAUUGGUUUUGAUUCGUACUCCAUUAUAUGUUCAUCUUUUAAAUAAUAAUAACAUAACUAUUAUAUAUAACUUUUAUAUAAACGUAAACAAAUCAUCUUUUAAAAAAUGUAUUCAUCUUUCAUAUCUUUUUUCAAUUUCAAUAUUUUGAUGUUUUCAUUGAAUUACAAAUAAAGAUAAUAUACUAUCAUCAAAUUCAACACACAUUAUAUAUCAAAUAAUUUAAUAAAGUAGGUAAAAUUUAACUAAUAUAUAGUAUCAUAAAGUUAAUUUUUUUUUGAACAACAUAAUCAAUUACUGUAGCAUAAGCAAAAUAUAUAUUAUCACAUAUAAUCUCUCCUCACCUAAAACUUUAUAAAAGACAAAACUCAUUAUCAUACACAUCUCUUGCAAAUGAAAACUUAAAACAUAAAACACAAAAUCAUACAAAAUAAUAACCUAGAUCACAAGUAAAGUAUAUCCCGCCCGUAGGACGGGCCAAUCCUAGUAUAAUAUAAUACCCUACCUAUCUACCUAUAAUACUCUAGACAUGUUGCAAUAAAUUCUUUAAACAUUUCAAUUAGCUAGGUAAAAUUAUAUCUCCACAUUUUAAACUUUUCAAUUCAGAAUGAACAAAUGUACAUUUAAAUGCAGAAUGAACAAAUUUCAUCUAUAGUUUAUUCUAAAUUAAAAAUGUGUAUAAAUAAUUGAUUAUUGUUCUACUAUAAGUUUCAUAAUUUUGAAGUUAGCCAAUUGUUUAUUUAAAUUUUGAAACCUGAAAAUAUUUUCUUUUGUUUGUUAUAUUAUAAUAAUAAAUAAAAUAUAUUUUUUUAAAUGUCUUCAGUACCCAACCCAUAACCCAAAAAUAUAUUGUAUUAUUCAAUAGACUUUUAGUUUAAAGUUUCUAAAAUAUUCAUAUUUUAAUUAUAUUCGAAUAUAUUUUAUUUCAGAUAUAUAUAUUAUAUGAUAAACUAUCCUAUAUAUUGAGAAAGUAUUUAUUGUUAAAUCAUCACAUUCGUAACUGUGAUUUAUAGAAAUGUGAAUGAUUCCUAUUUCUCUAAAUCCAAAUAGCUAAAACCAAACUGAAAAUCAAACGGUGUCAAAAUAUUUAAACAUAAUAAAAUAUUAAUUUAUAUUUGUAUAUAAUAUAAUUUAUCAUUAAAAAUAUUCAAACCCCCCCCCCCCCCAAUUACAUGAAUUACUUGGGUUUUCAGUUUUCUAGGUUUAACUCAGGUUUUUGGAUAUUUUUUUUGGAAUUUUUGGCUUUAAAUCCAAAUUAAACCCAAACUAUUUCUAAUUUGGUUCAUUUCGGUUUUAUGAAAAAAUAAAAACCUGACUCAAACUACACAUCACCCGAAUCGAUCUGAUGCGAAAAAUGCAUGGUUCUCCUAAACAGGUCCUAACAUCCCAACCCCAAUAACUUGAAAACUGAAUAGCCCUAACUGACACGAACCUUAAACCCAAAUGCCUAUCACUAUGAGAAAUUAAAAUAAAUUACUCUCAGUUAAGUAUGUCAGAACUCAAAAAUUAGAAUUCAGACCAAAAAAUUGGUAAUUGUUAAAUCGAAAAAUUUAACCAAAAUGUUAUCUCGCGCUUUAAAAGCGCGGGUCAAAAUCUAAUUAAUAUUAAACUUCAAGCAAACUACCAUAUUAUUUCAUAAAGUGAUUUUCGUAAUGCAUAUAUGAUCUACUAGUGCAUUUCGAAGUAAAAAUGGUUCUCCUCAUUUUUAAUUUGUAGAUUAGAGAUAAAAAUUGUUGAAAACGGGUGAUAUUAAUACUUGUAAAUACAUUAGAUUAGAACAAGAAAGUAAAAUAGAAACAUAAAAUAUUGCUAAAUUACUAAAUUUUAUCGAUGAUAUUAAUAGUCGUGUAUAUUUUUUAUAUGAACAAGAAAGAAUUGUACGAAAAGACAUCAUCAACAACACCAACAACCAUCUUCAGUUACACAAAAAAAAAUUGGAUAAUAUUUGGAAAUUUUGAAGAUUCCGGAUCAAACUUACAUGAUUAUUAGUGUUGUUGUAAUAUUUAAAUUUGUGUAAUAGUUAUGUCUUCAUGAAAUUUUUAAAAAGCUUUUUUGUUAAGUUUCUUUUGUAUAUUUUUGUUAUCUAAAUCUGGUUUUAAAUAUUCUAAAUCUUAUUUUAAAGUUUUGUUUAAUUUUAUGUGUAAACUUAAAUGUUGUAAACAAAACUUAAAAUAUUUAUGAGAUAUAAUUUUUAUAAGGAUUAAAACAAUAAACAAAAAAAAUAUUUAUGAAUAAUAAAUGUGAUGUGUAAUUGUAUGAACCAAAAUGCAAAUAAAAAUAUGAAACUUCAAAUUUGAAAUUUUGAGUAGUGAAACUUCAAAUAUAGAGUUUCACUGCUUUUUAAGUUCCUUUUUGGAGAUAAAAAAAUUUCAUAUUUGAAGUUGAGUUUGAAGUUUUGAUUUUGGAAAAAAACUAAUUUUAAACUUCAAAUAUAGAGUUUUGGAAAGUUCAAAAUAUAGUUUUUUUUUAGAUGUUCUGGAGCAAAAAAUUUCACCUCUAUUUUUCCUCUAUUUUAAAAAUAUUUAUUAUAGAAAUGAGCCGGAGAUGAUCUCACAUAAAGAAACUUCACGAUUUAUCGUCUUCCAUCCGUUCACUCUUCUUCUCACUCACAAAGACACGAACCUGCACUUCUCAUUUCUCAGUGUUUGUGUUUUUAAGUGACUAUUUUUAUAAGACAUUGUUUUUUAACAAUUGUAUAAGACAUUUUUUUAUGAAUGAGGGCAUACUUUUUUAAUUGCUUAUGUAUGGUAUUGGUACUUGGCUCUGCCUGGAGGGAUAGUCCCUAGUUUCCUAAGCGUUCUCCCUCUGUUCUGUUCAUGCCAGUAAUGGUACCGAGCAGUCACAUUCGCAUUCCUCCACGCUAUAAGAUCGAAAACGUUCAUACAAGAGGCCCAUCCACAUGCUUGUGGAUCAAACUUUGAGCUGAUGAGCGGGUCCGAGAAGUUUAGAUACUUGUAAUAACGGUGAAAGGCUUCAAGACAUGUCCCCACAGCGCCAAUGACAUCUCCAUGAAGAUCGAAAGAGAAGAGUGAAGUCAAAUCUUUCUGAACAACAACGUCGUCGUCUAGGAAAACGAUCUUCACUAGCUGCGGAUAGAUCUCGGGAAUAUAGAAUCUUCUUUGUUAUUUUUAAAACAGUGUUUAUGUGAUUGGUUUUUAAAUUACCUAUACAUUAAAAAAGGGAUAAUAUUCACGAUUAGUUAUUUUAAAUCUUUUGAAAAAUUAGAAAUAAAAUAAUUGAUUUGGUAAAAUAUGAGUGUUAUAUUGAUUUUCUACCAACAAAGUUGCUAAUCAUUUGAAGAAAGAUCAGGUCAAAAGUUUCAGUAUCAUAUUGAAUACACCUUGUAUUAAAAACAGAGCUUUUAGACAACUGGGAUUAGGAUCAGGUUUUUCGCACCUGUAAAAAUUCAUACAUCAUCUAAAAGACUGAGAGCACGAAAUUUGUUAAAGCUUUCAAAACCUAGGAAUAUCUUGAGGCAGCUGCCAAGAUUUCAUACUGAACGUGAGAUCAUCUACAUGGUCUACAAAGGCGUAAACUCUACUACCACCACCAUGGUGCUCAAAACCUUGGACUUCAAGGCGUCUGACAGUGUUCCUUCCGGGAUGGAAGUAGAAAACAUAAAACGGGUUGGAGUAGUGAUUCAUCAAAACAAUUUCACCUGUAGCGGUCACUCCAACAACGGAAACAAAGCCAAUCCAGCUGAAUUUAUCACCAGGAAGAGCGAAUGGAUGUUCCGACCAAUCAUGUUUCUCUGCAUAUUCUAGAACCAACAUAGUCAUACUUUCCAGACGUGGCCAACUAAUCAGAGCUAAUUUACCCUCAUAGUAAAUAAAUCCUUUAUCAAAAACAUCUGCGGGGAUAAACUUGAAUUUCUCAGACCCAACAUCAAAGCAAGCUAUACAGAUAGUUGUAUGGUUUACUAGAGCCAAGUAAUAUAAAAACUCCAUUAAUGCAUGUUCCCCGGGACCUAGGAACAGGAUAAUGGGCUAAGGGAGAUUUGAUCUUCCUCCACUUAAUAUCUCGUGAAUAAGUUCAAGAGGGAUUGAAUUCAUCAUGAUCAGACUCUGAGAGAGAAAUAAUAGGGUGACAGGUGAAUACAAAUCAUUGUAGGUAAUCCGUAAUAUCUCUAUUAUUAAAAGAGAAGUACCCAUUAAAAAAUACCCAUAAGUUAACUAACUUAUUUACAUUUUCAUGCCACUGAGAAUUAAACUAAACUAACUAUUUUAAUGCUUGUCUUUUUCAGUUAAAUUAAUGAGUUUUCUUUAAUCAAAUUUAAACUUAAUGUCAUUAAAUAAACCUACAUAUUUCAAUGCUUGUCUUUUCCAGUUAAAUCAAUGAGUUUUCCUUAAUCAAAUUUAAACUUAAUGUCAUUAAAUGAACCUAAAAAUACAUCAUAUUUAACGUAGCUUAUUACGUACAAGUACGGCCCAAUAAUGAACUUGAAUUUUAUUUUUACGAAAACGUGAAUCACUUGACUUAUGUAAUAUUUAAAAUAUAUUAACUACAAUAUAACAAAUGCAUAUAACCUACCUAUACUUUAGUUUGAAAUGAUCAUGUUCAAGUUUUAUAUAGUCAACUUACAUCAUGCAUCGAUCGAUGUACAAUAUUCAAACCACCUAUAGUUUUCGUUUUCUUUAUAGGAUGUAUCAACCAACCAAUCAUCCCAUUGAUUUUCUAAGCUUUAUAAAAAAACAAAUCAAUAAAUACAAACUCAAAAUCUAAUAUCUUCUAUUAAUCAAAACAUAAUAUCUUCAAUGUCGUAUCUUUAAUGUACCUAUUAAAUAUAGAAACUGUAACCAUAAUUACACUAAUUAUAAGAAUAGAUUUGAUUCCAACCAAUUGAUCUAUUACUUCGGUAAUCGAUUUGCUUGCAGAAGAGGAAACAAUAAAUUUAAAAUUUAUAAGAAUAUAAAGAUAUAGAGAUUUCAACCAAUUGCCUAUAUUUGCGUAUGAUUUCCGUAUAAUAAGCUUCAAAUUGAACAUUGAAAAAGAUAGAGAGGUUUUUUUUUAAUCUUUUACCGACACAAACUUAAACAAAACGAAGAGUUAAAUGUAAUUUUUUUGUUACACUUCCCGGAAAAAACGGUUACAACAUGGAUUUUCAUAAUAUGGCCUUUUAACAUAUUAAUGUUAUGGACAUUUAAUAAUUAUCUUGACGAAAAACAAAGACUAUAAAUAAUUUAUUAUUAAUAAAAUUAUGAAAUUAUUUACAAUUUGAUGACUAAUUCAUCGCCUUUUUUAUAUGUUAAAUUUUUCAUAGAAGUUUAAAAAUUAUUUUAUUUUCUUUAAACAUUUAUAAUUAAUUUAUAAUCUUUUAUGCCAUACUAAGUCAUAAUAUAAUAUUUCUUCAUAUUUUACAUUAAUAACCAUUGUUUUUAUAUAUCGUCUACAAUUCUGUAAUUACGUCUAUUAUAUGAUAUCGAAUAUUUAUCGUAAUUAGAUGGUUUAAGAUGCCAAAAAAAUUAUUUACUUGGUGAAUAUAAUACAUCAAAUAUUACAAAUACAUUAUUUAGUUAAAUAAAUAACCAAAAACCGAAAAUUCAAACCGCAGGGUCUAGUUAAUAUUAGUGUUCGAGACCUAGCUAGGGCUUUCAUUACUAACCAAACCAAAUCGUGCAUAUGAUUCAGUUGAUUUAGUUCGAUUUCGGUUUACAGGCACAAACCGGUCGAACCUCGGUUCUUUGUUUUUCCUUUUUUUUUUGGUGUAUCGGAUCUUUGUAGCAUUUCGAUAUCUUGUCUAUUUGUUGUUUUCCGGAGGCUUUAAAACAUGUUUCUCUCUGUAGCUACGCUUUAGUUAUAUAUUCAGCAACUAUAACAAACUUUUGAAUGGAAAACCAAUCUUGCCUAAAAAACUAAGGUCAGAGAGAGAGAGAGAGAUGGCUCUUUUUCAUUUCUUUUGAAUAUAUAUGGUGUUCAGCAUUUAAUUUAACUCAGUGUUUGUAUUAAAAUGAUAAAUUUAUAAGUAUUAGAGUAGCUGUUGGGUGCAUGAAGAUGACUACCAGCAUAAUGGCAUUCACUGCUCCAACAGAUACAUGUUAACUUCUUGUUGUGUCAAAUUCAUGUUGAAAUAGAACCAAUGAAGGGGUCGAGACUCGAGAGUUAACUUGGGAAAGCAUUAGCUCAAGAAUAAAAAUUUUCAAGGUAUGACAAAGACUGUUGAUUAUUUGCAGGAAAAAAAAAAUCAUUAAAUGCAGAGAACAUUACUACAGCUUUGAAAACAAAAUGAAAUAAUUUAUCCAUCCAUCCUUGGAAGAUAAACAUACAUAUAACAAAAAGCUCACAAAAUAAAAUAAGUAUCCCUGUAAUCUAUUAAACCAAUAAGUACAUCAUGGACCUUCUAAUGUGUGAUUAUAAAUUGCUCUCCAGACCAUAAGAAGAGAACAACAGUCUUCAGAGAAAAUCUGAACCUGACAAACUUUCUGAGCUCUACAAAACAUUCCAAAACAAAAAAGAAUCUUCAAAGUGUAUAAGAAUCUUCUCAACUCUCUCAAAAAGUCUUUUUUCUUCUAAGCUGUGACACAAUCUUGUAAAUAAGGAUGGCUAGAGUUCAAAAACUUCAACCAAAAAGGUUUAUACCUACCAAUACCAAUCUUUAGCCAAGGCUUCAUGUUGCCAUUAUAAUGAAUCACAGCCGCGGUUUCUAUCAAACGGUUAUCAAUGUUGACAUCGUAGCCUAACCCCAAGACAUGCCAUCUUCUGUCUAGCGGCUCGGUGAGACCAUAGAAAGCCAACAGACCCGGAGGAAGAGUCCCUAGCUUCCAAAGCGUUCUCUCUCUGUUCUUCCCUUGCCAGUAAUGGUACCUACCAGUCACGUUCGCUUUCCUCCACGCUAUGAGAUCGAAAACGUUCAUACCAAAGGCCCAUCCGCACGCUUGCGGAUCGAACUUUGAGCUGAUGAGAGGGUCAGAGAAGUUUAGGUACUUGUAAUAACGGUGAAAGGCUUCAAGACACGUCUCCACGGCUCCGUUGACGUUUCCGUGAAGGUCUAAGGAGAAGAGUGGAGUCAAAUCUUUCUGAACAACAACGUCGUCGUCUAGGAAAACGAUCUUUUCCAGCUGAGGAUAGAUCUCGGGAAUGUAGAAUCUGAGAUGGUUUAGUAAUGACAAGUACUUCGGGUUCCUCGCUUUUGGCUCAGAGUUUGUUUCUUGGUCCCCGAAGUAGUAAGCUCUCGAGUCUGUAUCCAGCAGCUGCUUAACAACGGGAGAGUAAGAAGCGUUCAGCCAAGAGAACUCUUCCACGCUUCUGAUCUCUAUCGCUGCGCCCUUGAAGUCAUUACCAAGAAACCAAGCCUGCAUAGCUUUGUAGCUAACUCGAUUCGUCACUACGUGGAACACAAGCUGCUUCGGAUGAUCAGCGUUGGCCACAGUCGAGUUAACAGCAACAGAAGCAGCUAUUACAUUAUCAGUAAAGAUACAGAAGUGGUAGAGGUUGUUGUCAACGAGUCUCGGCGAGUUUCUGCUCUCAUCCGCCGCUUCACGGCGCGAUGACGCCUGCUCGGUUAACCAAUCUGACGUGAGCUUGAUCAUCAAACAGUGGAGGCUCUUCGGUACCGCCUCGGCAACAGAUUGACCAAACACUGUUGUCUGAACGGUUGCUGCGUUUGCGCGCUCUUCGAGGGCUUGGAUGUGAGACUUCAUAGUCAUCAUCGAGGUGGCUAUGUCGUAAUGCGCGUCCUGCGCCUUGUAGAUGAGAGAUGACAGGCCGGUGACGAUCGGUUUCGCUUCGUCUAACGAAAUGGGCUGGGCUCUCAUCGCUGCUUUUGAGAGGAGAAGCUGACAGGUUCGGAUCUUGGAGCUCAGCUCCCAAGCUAAGUGGAGAUUGUUGUGCUCUUUGGCUAUGAAAACAUAGGCUUUGGCGAGCGUCAUUUGCUCUGCUAGCUGCCUAGCGAACGAGGAUGCGCUUGUUACCUCUUCCGUGAAGUUUAAACGAGGAGGUGAUACGUUGUUGUUACUUGUGUCUCUUUCCUAUCAAAGAAGAAAAGAAGAUCAGAGUAACUUCUCCAAAUACAAAAACAUUUCUAUGUAGACAGUAUGAUAUAAGCUUUUGCACUCAUAGACUAAUAACAAUGUCAAUAAAUAAACUACACUAAGAUUUGGUCAUGCUGUUGUGAAAACAGCUCAAUUUGCAUUGAUUCCAUACAUACACAGACCAAACUAAUAAGUACCAGGGCCGAUACUGGGCUAAGCCGGAUGAAACAUUUCCCUCAAGCCUCAAAAUUUUCGAAAAAAUUAGCCCUCAAAUUAUUGAAAUCUUUCUUAAAUCGUCUAUAACUCCAAAAUCUUAGGGCGGCCAUGCUAAUAACCAUUCUCAGCUUUAAAAAUUAAAAACAUGAGGCUACAAUGACAGUGGAUUCACCAAUCUUUUUGUCAGCAAAAGAAUAAAGAUCCAAACUUUUUAAUGAGCGGGUGAUCAUCAGAGCAAUAAAAAACUCAAACUCUCAGCAAUCAAUAGAGUCAAUACUACAAUGCAAUAAAGAGAGAAAAGACAUAUAUACAAGGUUGAGCUGAGAUGGAUCUUGCUGUUGAUGACGAUGCUGAACCAUGAAGAGAACCAAUCCAGCGACAGAGAAAGAGCCAAGGAGAAGCCAUAUCCAACUCAGCAAUCUCCUUCUAGCUACCCUCCGCCUCCUCAUCUUUUUCCCCUACGAAUCCUCCACGGUUCCUCUCACCAGAUUCUUCUUACUGAAAUCGAUUUUAUUACACUAAACCCAGAUUCAAGCAGAGCCCAAUGAAUUCGUGCCGACAGAGGAAGAAGAAUCUGUAAGAGACUGAAGAAGAAGUGAGUUUCGUGAUUGUGAUCUGCCUUUCGCUUUGCUGCUUUCGAAUGAUAUUUCUUCGCUGUCCCCAGAAGAAAUGUUAAUUAUUUUCCAGAUCUGAUUUAAUUUAAUUGGCUAUUAAAAUGGAUGACCUGUCUUUUUAAAUAUUUUGUUUUACAAAUCAGACCGGAACUAGAUAAAUUGUCUAUUACCACCUUAUCACUCAGACAGUCGGUGUGUUUAAUAGCUUUUCUCUUAAUUUUUGAAGCUAUUUUUGUAAAAAGAAAGGGUAUUGAGAAACUUACCCAAAAGUUUAUAAGAACACAAUAUUAACUAAAGUAAAACAGAAAAUAAGAAAAAACUAUUUUAUGUAAAUUAAAUUUAAUAUAAAACUGAAACAAAAACAUUAAAAAUUACAAAAAAAAAUUAUAAUAACACAAUCAAACCAAACCAAAUUUAACUAAAGUAAAUAGAAAUUUUUAAAAAUCAACAUUAAUAAUGACUUUUGUCUUAGAUUGGGGUAUUGUUAAUUCAAAUAAUAACAAACAAUUAGUUUAUUGGUUCGGUUUAAUUCAGAUAAUCUUAAACCGAACUAUUAUUUUGAUAAUAGAUUUUGGAUGGAUUUCAGUUUGUUUUGCCCACCCCUAGUUUCAACAUCUCAACUUCUUCAUUCGAUCUCGUCGACGACACUCAUAAGUUUCAACAUCUCAUCUUCUUCUUCGUUCUCGUUGAGGAUAGUCUUCUUCCAGUUUCUACGACGUGAUCUGUGCCCAUGUUGACAUUCUUUUGGUAUCAAUUUGUCAACCAAUUGGUGGGAGCUACACUUAUCUUGGACUUGUUAGGAAGUGUUUCGCUUGUUUUACACUCAUGCUCUUAUGGUUUUAAUCGCUACCGAGUCUAGUUCUCAUUUCUUCUAUAAGCUAAUCAACAGUUCAGUUCUCACAACUGUCAACCAGAGUUUUUCUGAAAAAAAUUUGUGGUUUCUUCUGCAAAAAUAUAGAUUUUAAGUUGGUCACUGAGUCCAGGGAAACACACUAAUAAGAAGGAACAAAAUUAGUGCGCUUCUUCUUGUUAGUGCGUUUCUUCUUAUUAGUGUGAAACCAGAUCUUAAUCGUUUUUGCCACCAAGAAAAGCAUCGCCUGCAAGUUUUAAACAUAGAAUUAGAAAACCAAUGUGUUUUAUAUUCAUUUUUUCUCAAACUAUGAUUCAUAACAAUCAUGUAUACACGAAUGAUCCCAAAUACAAAAUAUAUGUAUGCCUUUAGCUAAGUUACACACCAAAGUUUAGAUCCAUUGAUUAACAAUCUAAACGAAUCAAUGAUUUUUUUGCUGGAAAAUACACGUAAUGGGUUUUGCUGAAAUGUCGCAAGACUUUAACUAGUUAGACUAUCAUCAGAUUCAUUCACUAAUCGUUAAAGCAUCAUACACAACUUCUAUCAGAUUUCAAUGAUCUAAUCCUGUGUAAGCCAAAAGAUAGAGACGAAUGGAAACGAAUCUGAGAUGUUGAAAAAUAUCAAGCACAAAUCACUCCAGACAGUAUACAUACGGUUAAAGAAUCAACAUUGUCGUUUUUUACUUAAGCACCAAAAUUCGACAAUUUCAAAUUCAGUUCAAAAUCCAUGAAAUCAUGCCACGAAGUGAUAAACAUCAUAAGGAUCAAGGCAUUUCACUAAAACAAAAACAAAUUAGAAUUUCAACCCACAAGUAUACAUCACUCUGCGAGAAUUGGUGAAACCCCCUUUUUAAAACUCUAGGAUCAAAACUUGGAGUUGGGACUGAGAGGCCAUACAUGUGCUUCGCCGAAAACGGUUAGCAUCGAUGGAUUGAGCUCGAAAAGCCGAUGAAAAUAGGCUAAAGAACCGCACAAAACCGUUCAGUAUUGUGGGUUUUCGAAAACUUGAGAUUGAGAGAGUUUUGGUGAAGAAAAAACGAGUUCAAGGUUCUUUUUGAUCCCCAAAAUUGGCGAAUGGGAGGUAUAAGGAGGGUUUUCCGGUUCAAUUUGAGUGAAAUCGAACCGGUUCACCGAGUCAAGGACCGGUUUACCUGUGUCAAAGAGCGCCUUAUCCGCAAAACAAAGAGCGCGCGAACAUAAACUAAAAGCGAUAUCUGAGAUCUGAGGCAUAUGUAUUCAAAGUCAAAACAGCAAAUCAAAUUCAAGGUCGAGAUUUGUUCUGCGAUGCGAUGGCGAGCGGGCGUUCCUGUUUUAAACAUAUAAUUACAAAACCAAAGUUUACAUUCAAAACACGUGUUUUAUAUUCAUUUUUUCUCAAACUAUGAUUCAUAACAAUAACAAUAUACACGGAUGAUCCCAAAUACACGUAAUGGGUUUUUCUGAAAUGUCGCAAGACUUUAACAAGCUAGACUAUCAUCAGAUUCAUUCACUAAUCGUUAAAGCAUCACACACGACUUCUAUCAGAUUUCAAUGAUCUAAUCCUAUGUAAACCAAAUGAUCAGAAACGAAUCCAGAGCCAAAAGAUAGAGACGAAUGUAAACGAACCUGAGAUGUUGAAAAGAAGCUGAGAUGUUGAAACUCUUGAGUGUCCUCAACGAGAACGAAGAAGAAACUGAGAUGUUGAAACCCUUGAGUGUCGUCGACGAGAUCGAAGGAAGAAGCUGAGAUGUUGAAAUUAGGGGUGGACAAAAAAAAACUGAAACCCAUCCAAAAUCUAUUAUCAAAAUAAUAGUUCGUUUAAGAUUAUACGUAUUAAACCGAACCAAUAAACUAACCGUUUGUUAUUAUUUGAAUUAACAUACCCCAAUCUAAGACAAAAGUCACUAUUAUUUUUGGUUUUUAAAAUUUUCUAUUUACUUUAGUUAAAUUUGGUUUGGUUUGUUUGUGUUAUUAUAAAUUUUUUUGUAAUUUUUAUUGCUUUUAUUUCAAUUUUAUAUUUAAUUUAAUUUACAUAAAAUAGUUUUCUCUAAUUUUCUGUUUUACUUUAGUUAAUAUUGUGUUCUUAUAAACUUUUGGGUAAUUUUCUCAAAUAGUAUUUCUUUUUACAAAAAUAGCUUCAAAAAUUAAUAUUAAAUAGCUUUUGAUCAAAAAAGAAAAAAAAUCGUGUCUUUCUUUCCCAAAACAUUGUCGUUUUGUAGGAUGGAAGAAAUGGGCCAGUGGUCCCAUUACGUAGUUUUCUUUGCUCAUAAACUCGCGACUCGAACUUUGGGGUUUUCUUCCCGAAUAAGGAAUCAAAAUGGCCUACGUGGAGAAGGACGUAACACUUUGCUGACAAGUGGCGACAUGAUUCGAGUUACAACUACGAGAACAACUCAAGAUAACAAAAAAAUAAUACUCCAUCUGUUUCUGUUUCUGAACGUAAAAUGUUUCAAAAAAAAUUGAUGUUUCAAUAUAUAAGAUAUUUUUUAAUUUUUAUGUAACUUUUACUUUAUUAAAAAUUGUGUAACCAAUCAUAUUUAAUAAUUUAUUUUAUUAUUGGUUGAAUACAAUUAUUUUAUAAUUUUAAUGAUACUCCACACCAUACAUAAAGUCAAAGUAAAACAUAAGAAUCAUUAACCUGGCCAAUUGCUUUCUCCCCAUUAACCUCCAAGACCUGACCACGAUUUCUUUCCUAGACUCCGAUUUGCUUGUGAUUUUUUUUACGUUUGGUUUUAAUUUUUUUUUUUUGUCGUUUUCUUGAUGAGUAGGUGGAAGCAUCGGAAAACCAAGCUGGCGGAACAGUAGAUGCCUCUCUAUGAUCUUCCUUCGAAGAUCCUUUGUUGACUCUUUAAUGUUGAUUUAAAGGUAGGCUUCACUUUCGUUUGGUAAUACGCUUUUUUUGUUUUUUGAGUGUUUGAAUUAUAAGCUAACUUUAAGAUUUGUCUAUGAUUUUGCAUUAGUGGUGCUUAUGCGCAGAUUACUCUUUUUCCGGAACCUAUUGUAAGUUAUAUUUUCUUAUGUUCAUUUAGUUGGAGCGGAGUAUAGGAUGAUCAUAUUCUUCGAAAAUCUGAUAUAUUAAUUUUUUUUUAUUUUCCAGCAAGACGAGAAUGCAAUUGAGAAAGAGGCACCUCUUCCUCCGCCCCCCCAGGUUCCAAGUGCAUUCCUUCUGCAAAACCUUGACUGCUUCGGACACAAGUACACAUGGUGGAUUUUCUGUGCUUAGCCGACAUGCUGAUGAAUGUCUCCCGCCUCUGGUUGGUGCUUUAGUUAUAUAUUGAAAACCAAUAUUCCUGAAUUUUGUUCCAAAAUAUGCUUUAAUUCAAUGUUUCCCUUUGUUUCUUCUUUCAGGAUAUGUCACGUCAGUCUCCUACUCAGGAGUUAGUAGCAAAAAAAUUGCAUGCAAAUGAGUGGCGUUUUAGACAUAUUUUCCGAGAUAAUGGGAAUUUGUAUGAGUUGCAUUUGUAUGAGUGGAGGCGGGGAAAACGGCGCCGUAUAAGGGAGCAGUUGAUUGCGUGUUGAAGACGGAGAGAGCUGAAGGGAUCAUGGCUUUAUACAAGGGGUUUUUGCCGACGGUGUCGAGACAAGCACCGUUCACGAUGAUUAUGCCGGUGGUGUUAAUAUGUUCUCAUUCUAUGUUUUCUAUUUUGAGUGUAAAUUCAAGUAGAUAGAUUUCUCAUCUGGGUAACGCAUCAUGUUUGAAAGUUCAGAUCUUUGAAUCCAAUUUAAUAAUCUGCCGACAAAACUUUGUCUCCCCUAUAUACUUCAUAUAGUAGACCGGAUCAGUGCAUCUCUUAUCAAGUCAAGGCUUUAUUGAACUGUCACAGAUUUCAACCAAUCAUCGACAAUGUCUUCCUCUGCUGCUACCGUUGCUCAACAAACUGUUUCCUCCUCAACCUUUGACGAUCUCAGCCUUGGUCCGACUUCACAGGUGGUUGCUGGCCGGAUCCUCUGCUUUUGGGAUUGAAGGAACAUGAAGAAAAAUGGUGAAUUUGUGGGUAUCACCAUCCUCUGGCUAGAUGAAAAGGUUUCAACAUUCCUCUUUUAACCUUUAAAGAUUAUCAAAAAAAUUUAAGCAAAUUUACAAACUAACAGAUAAUAAAGCCUUACUUGGAUUCAAUGAAAGGAUCCUGUGUUUGCAUAUCGGGAAAACAAGGCUCUGUUUUACUUCAAUCAAAGACGUAUAUUCAGAUAAUAACACUGCGUUCACUUAGAACAGUUUAAGACCUUAUCUCUCCACGUUUGAUUGCAAGUUUGAUAAAAGAGAUUCAUCAAAAGUUUGUAGUUUUCUUUGCAGUGUAACAUGUUCAUUAAUUAUAUUUUUGUGUGGUGGUCUGAAAAUGGUGUUAUUCUCAUUAACAUAUUGUUUUGGUCUGUCGGUUUUAUUUUAGGUGUAAAACCUCGACUGAUGAAGGCUAAGAUCGAGGUGCUGAGAUUUACUCCGGUGAAUCAACCGGAGUUCCAGUGAGUUAUCACAUAUUUUAUUGAAUGAACACAUACAUCUAUGAAUCCUUGAAUAAAAUAAGUUAUGAUUUUGUUGGGUUUCCUCAUAUAGAAGAAAGAUUAGGGUUAACAUGCUUUUUGGAAACCUGAAAAUAAUAUGUUUUUUAAACUAGAUGUGGAAGGCAUGGACCUUCAAAGAACUACUUCUAGAGAACUAGGAAACUCGUUGCAGGUUGUGAUAUUUCCUUUAUUUUAAGUAUAGUAGAAGGUUCAUGGAUAUAUGAUAUAUCUAUAUCCUUCAUAGGUAGUGGUAAAUACAGUCGUACACAAAUAAAUUUAAACAUUGUAAUUUGCAGAAUUGUAAGUGUUUUAUAUGAAAACUAACAAUUUCUAACAUGCAUAUUAAGAUUUUAUUGGUUGAUUGAAAAUUAUUUCUAAUAAAAGACUUUUUCUGCAAUAGCCUGUCCCAAAAGAAGUUAUAAUAGCUAUUUUUGCCCCUAACUGUACGCAUUCAAUUUAAAAUCACGUACUUGCAAGUUUUGCAUUUUUAGGCCCGAAAUAGCCAUGACCUUCAUUAUUCUCUUGACUAUUAAAUCACAAACUUAGACUACUAAGCUGCAAAAAAAUAAAGCCUCAAAGAAAAUCUAACAUACAAAUUUACUACAACUCAAUACCCCACCAUAAAUCCUUAAAAAUUACUAAUAUUCACAUGCAAAAGACCAAUUCAGAACACACCAUCUCCUCAUCCUUAAUAUAAAGCAACAACAUCCUCGCAGCGUGCGUACGUGAACACAACAUCAUGUACACAAAAUUAGCCAAUACAGCAACAACGUUCCUGGCAGAAGAAGUGAGGCAAAUGCGAGAAUAAUAAUAAUGCAGUUCGUAGGUUUGCAACUCAUAUUGUAGGGCAUGAUCAAACCGUAGGAGUUAGAAUUCUUAAACCGUUUUUGUAUAUAAAUUAUUUUCAGGAACACACAAAACGUCUAUGCAAUGUGUUUAAUCAGAUUUAAGUUAAGACUUCUUCAGAAUUUUUGAUUAAAAACCUAAUUCCAUACCUCAGACAGUGAUAAUUUUUGUAUAUAUCUACCAUUUAUAAUUUUUAGAAAGCUUUUAAGUUGGGUUUGAAGUCCUCACUAAUACAUGUUUUCGAGAAGUCAUUCAAGACCAUAUUUGAGCAAGUAUCUCAGCCUUGCAUAAAGGGAUGACCGAGCACACAAACACUACCCAACAAACAGAAAAAACUAGAACAUCAAAUAAUAGUAUUAAUAUUCAAAAUUAUUUCCAAAAAUUCUGAUUAAUUAAAUAAUUAAAAUAAGAAACUGUAAAAUUAAUAUUACAUCAACAACGGUAAGAAAGUAAACCUUCUAUAAAUUUACAACUAAUAAUAUUUCAAAUCAUGAUGCAAAAUUUUCUUUCUAUCACAAACAAACUUAAAAAAAAAAAACAGAAAUUAAAUAGCAACAAUAAAUGUUAAGUUUAAAUUUUGGUUAAAAACGUUGACAAAAUUAUUUUGGUUAAAACAAUAAAUUGAAGACAACACAUAAAGAACUGGUAUACAAAUCGGUGGUACUUUCUUUUAAAGACAAGUACAAAAAUGAAACUUAAUAAUUUUAAAACCAAUCAAAAUUUAUACAGUUGUAAUUAUAAGCUUUACAAUUGUUUUACAUAAAAAUAACCAAUAUAAAGAAUAUAUAUAUAUAUAUAUAUAUCUUAAUUUAUAAUUUAGUUAACUUUUUAUUAAUCUUACUAAUAUCCUACAUAAAACUCCAAUAAAACACAACAAAUUAUUUCAAAUAGUUUUAAAUUUGCAUUUAUAUUUAUAGUUCUAUAACAAGUUUCAGUGUAUAUCAUAUUUGUUCGUUUUUAAAAUAAAUAUAAAUAUAAAAGUUAAUGAAUGUAAGCCGAAUAUAAGAAAUAUGAAUCGAACAUUUUGCUCUGACCCAACUCUGUCUACUGAUUCAACAUAACAAAGAUAAGACUCGUUCCUUCUUUUUCUUCUGAUUAAAGAAUGCAAAACAUGGCAAAGGCCUUUACUUGGUGGAGUCUUGGACCAUAUCUCAUGCGUUUGUUAUUUCGGCACUGAAGACAUUUUUAGUAAAAAAAAAAAAAAGGGUCAUCUUUGAGAAUUAAGAGUGUUUCACAGUUCCUUACUGAGAAUUUAUUUCGCAUGCAUUAUUGCCCCAUCUAGCUUCAAAACCCGUAUUAGUUUUUAGCCCAUUAAGGCCCAUGAGAUAUAUUCAACACAUAUUAGGCCCAUUAGGUUUUGAUUCGCUGCUUAUCGUCCUUAUAUUUAAGCGCGGCUAACUCCAAUCUAGGGUUUACGCACGCCACUGAGGAGAGGAGAGUUCAUCGCAGAGAAGAGAGAAAAAUGCCGGCGGCUAAGCAGAGGACCCCGAAAGUAAGCCGAAACCCCGAUCUGAUCAGGGGUGUCGGCAAAUACUCUCGCUCGCAAAUGUACCACAAGAGAGGUUUGUGGGCAAUCAAGGCCAAAAACGGCGGCGUUUUCCCCCGUCACGACGCUAAGUCCAAGGUCGAAGCUCCCGUUGAGAAGGCCGCCAAGUUCUAUCCAGCUGAAGACGUUAAGAAGCCUCUCGCCAACAGACGCAAGCCUAAGCCCACCAAACUCAAGUAAAAUCCAUUUUCUUUGAUUAGUGUUUUAAUUGAAUUUCAAUCUAUAGCAGAUUUGAGCUUGUAGGUUACGUAACAUAAUAGUUUUGAAUCAUUUGUUGGAAUCAGCAGUUUUUUUUUUUUUUUUUUGUGUUUGGAGGAUUUGCUGAAACGUUAGAUUCAUAAGAGAUUUGCAUAUUUAUUACAGCUAGAUAAGUUAUGUUCUGUCUGCUAUUGUGUGUGUGUUGCAGAGCCAGCAUUACUCCAGGAACUGUGUUGAUCAUCCUUGCUGGUAGAUUCAAGGGCAAGAGAGUUGUCUUUCUCAAGCAACUCACUUCUGGUUUGCUUUUGGUUACUGGUUAGUUCUCGUCUCUUCACACCUUGUAAUAGUGUUCGGUUGUUCAAUUUGGAAGGUGUGUUCAUACGUUUUCAUGUGUUUGUUUCAGGACCAUUCAAGAUCAACGGUGUCCCUUUGAGACGUGUUAACCAGUCGUACGUGAUUGGCACCUCCACAAAGGUUGACAUUUCUGGAGUCAGCAUUGAGAAAUUCGAUGACAAGUACUUCGGAAAGGUUGCUGAGAAGAAGACCAAGAAAGGAGAAGGCGAGUUCUUUGAAGCUGACAAAAAGGUUAGCAACACACAAAGCAACUUGUUACAAGCUUUCUUCUUUGUAUCAUUACUGAAUCUUUUGGGUUCUUAUUUAUUAUCAUUAGGAGAAGAAAGAGAUCCCACAAGAGAAGAAAGAAGACCAGAAAACCGUUGACGCAGCUCUGAUCAAAUCCAUUGAAGCAGUCCCAGAGCUCAAGAUCUACCUCGGCGCCAGGUUCUCUUUGUCACAAGGAAUGAAACCCCAUGAGCUCGUCUUCUAGAUUUCAUCUUAUCGUUUUGUUUCCCUUCAUGUUUCAAGAACACCUGUUUUCCCCUGAGUUUUUAUCCCUGGAUCUUAGAAAAUACACUAUCUUCUCUGAUUUAUAUAUCGACGUUCUACCAUAUCAUCAAUGAACUUAGAGAAUCUGCAUAAUCAUGAAUUAAUUUUAAACCAAAACGAUUGUUACGUUUACUUGUGUAGCAAACUACGACAUGACGAUUGUUAUGUUUAUUUGUGUAGCCAAACAUGACGACGUCCUAAGAAACGAAACGAACGUAUGAAUAGAAAUGUGAGUCCAUCCGCAACCGUGAUACCCGGUUAAGAGGCCAAUCCUUAAUAAAUCACUAACAAAUCAUUCAAACAAACCAACUUAGAAAUGAUCGUGCAUAAUCACUUGUCACUGACAAGUCAUUAAAAAGUUUGGAUAAUUAUACAAUAAAGGAGUUAUGAUUUGGUUCGAAACAAACAUGACAAUCCUAAGAAAACAAAAGAUAAUUAACAGAAACUAAUUAACAAAGGCAUAAUAAAAAGACACAACUUAAAACAUAGUGUGAUCAGGCACGGUCACUUUCGGUAGCGGCGAGAUUGUUACGACGAGCACGGCAACCGCAUGAACAGACGGUCAUGAGGAGUACGAGGAGACAUAUGUUGAAAACCAGAAGAUGCCUCCACUUCUCUCUUAUGUUGGCUAACACACCCGCUCUGCAUGCGUUGCAGUUAAAACAUAACUCCGUUUGCACGUUACUCCACGCACCGCAAUCACCGUUGUCCGUCGCAACCGUCGUUGCAUUUUUCGCCGGCGGCAUCCAGAACGUCGCGUUUCUGAACUGGAAGUUGCAAUCCGACGGUGGCUUACAACAACCUGACUGCUCAAGACAAAACAAGAAAUAUAAAAUUAUCUCAUAAAAUAUAACCGAUAAAUACUCUUUCAAAAAAUCGUUAAAAACCGAUUUUUUAGAAAAAAAUUGUUUCGAUUAUAACUGAUCUGCCGGUUAUAUAGAACAUUCGUUAUAUACUUAUAAAAUUCUAGGCAAGGAAUGAAAAUACCUGGAUUGGAGACAAGUUCUUGUGAUAAAACGCAUCAGCGAUCUGACUAACACGACCAUCACUCAAAUCAUCACAAACGCUAGCCUCAGCGAGACAAGACCUUAUACCAACCCAUCUCUUCCCACCAACAAAACCGUUUAGCCAAGUCGAGAAGUCCACCGUAUGGUACUCUCUAUACACUCGACCAGAGACCACAUGACCGGCUCCUUUGUUGGUCACAAAGAAGAGAAAUAUCGAGAAAACCAGUAACGCAACAAUGCCCGCAAUCAGUAUGAUCAAGUAGGAGACCAUUGCGACAUUCUCCUUGAAGCAAGAUCCUAUCACUCCUAUUAAAGACACCAAGAAGAGGAUGAUCCCGGUCGUGAGGAGUGGUGCACGAAUGGCUGAUUCACAAUCGGUCACGUCUUGAUGAACGAACAUGUAAAUGGAGUAACCGAUGGCUGAUGCGCCCACUAACAUCACCAACGUGUUGGCUACACCCACAACGAAGUUGCUUACUCGAAACAUUUUUGUGAUUUUAGUUUUUGUUUUUCUCUCUAGUGAAUGUGAUUCGAAUUUGAUAAUUAUGUUUUGAAACGUUUUCGUGUGUGUUUUUAAGAGUGUGGGUUGUUUGGGUGAAAGAGUGAACGGUUGAUUUUUGAGUAGUGGGGGAUACUAGUGGAGAUUAUGGUGUGGAUUGUUGACGGAUUCUGUAGCAGUUUCUGGUUUUUUUUUCUUCAGAAAAUCUAUUUUAAGCCAUUAAGAUUUUGAGAAAUAGAUUUCCUUUUUUUUUGUAACAAGAGAUCUAGGGAAACUCGAUUUUCAACAUUUUUUUCAAUUUUCUAGCUUUUAACAAUAUAUUUCCUUUGUAUAUUUGAGUAUUAAUAGCAAUUUUAUAUAACCCUCUUGGUAGUCUAUAAGAAUAACUAUUUUAGUGAUAACCUCUAAUAUUUUAUAAAAUUGAAAUAAAUUAUAUAGUUAUCUCAAAUAUAUAUUUAUCACAAAAUAAUAAUAAUAAUAAUUUGAAUUUAAAUUCAGUAAUAAAAUAAUGUACUUCUUAUUAGAAUCAUUAAUCAUAUUAGAAAAACAAAAACAAAAAUUUAAAAUCACCACUCAUGUUUUCCAACAAACUAAAAUAAUCUACUUAAAAAUUAAAAAUUAAAAUAAAAAUAAAAACCACUUGUUUAGUGUUUAAAUACUGGUUUAUGUCACUAGAGUUGGAGAAUGUGUGUGGAAAGGUGUGGAAAGGUGUUAAGAAUAUCCUUCAAUUUAAGGAAUAGUUAGUAGCUACAUUAGAUUUCAAAAUUAUGUCAGAAUUAUCACGUCACUAACAGUAAACUCUUCAAAUGUUGCUGGAAAAAUGAAAACAUUUUGCUUUUGUUUAGCGGACUAAAUGCUUAUAGAAAAAAAUAAUAUGUUUAUUAUCAAACUAUUUUUGACAUGAAACUUCGAUAAAUACCAUGCAGUUACAUUGGGAUGUAGGAACUGCAAGUGAAUUGAUUACACUAGGGGUUUAGCCAAACGCGGAGCUGGGUACGUUGUCGAUGCAUUGUGUUGUUUUGUGUAUGUAAUUGUAUUGUUUGUUUUUUGACAAAAGUUUAUUUGGUCAUGUUGUCUAUAAUUGUCUACGAAUGGAUGAUCGAAAGUUACACAUGUUGAUUAGAUAGAUCUAACAAUGACCAUAGUAUUCAUUUGUAUUGUUAUUUUCUUUUAUCUUAUAUUGGUAUAGAUUUGAUUGACCUUUAGUGUGAUUUACAGUUUAAUGAUAAAAAAUAACCGAACUUAUGUAAUUGUUAAUUUACGGUCCAAAUAGUGUAAGGAAAAGGGUUUAAAUUUUAAUUUUUAAAAUUUUAAAUGUAUAUGUACAGUAAAUAAAAUAGUUUUCUUAGUUUACACGGAUUUUAUUGUGAAGCUUCUCAAAUGAAAGUAUAUUUUUUUUUGUAAAAUUAAAGUAAUAAGUGGAGAUAUUUAUAUAUUUAUAUUGUUAUAGAAUUAUUUAAUGUAGAGGUUUAGCGGUUUUUUAAUAAAAAUAGUUUUGUGGUUUAAAAAAAAAAAUUCAAUCGCAGACCAAAAAAAGAAAUUGGUAUAGCUUUAUGUUUCGAUAAAGUGAUAAAGUAAACUGGGUUUAAAUUUUUUGGGUUUGAAAUUUUGUGGGUCUUGGAACAUAAGAUUUUUCAGCUUCUAACUCAACCGUUAGGUUGUUUUUUUUCCGUUAUCGGAAGAGCUUCUAAAUUUUUAGUUAUUAGUUCAACAAAUUGAUCGUCUACCAGAUCUAAGCUGGAGAGCCCGCCGAAGGCAUCUAGGGGCGUAGUUUCUGCUCAAGCGCGGGGAAUAUGUAUAGGUGAUGUAGUAUUUUGUUAUAGUCUUUGCUUUACCAAGAUUUGUAUUCUAAUACGAUUGAGGUGGUGUACUGAAGUAUGGUUAUUUAGGUGUUUCGUAUGUGAAAUGUUUUUAAAUCUCUUUUAAACCUGUGAGCUUAUUAGGAUGCCAACAUUUUUAAUAAUUUUACCGUAAGCAAGAUCAAUAAAACAUAUAUUAAUUAUGUACUCGAUCAACUCUAUCAUCUUUAAGGAUAAUUGACUGCUGGAUUUUGGUUUUUGUUAAAGGUUUAUAUCUUUCAUGUGUGUUAACAGGUUGUUUUUAUUUCUCUCACCCGUUAAUUUUAAAGUGUUCAAGUCAUAGAAUUCAUAGUAUAAUAUAUUUAAAAUGUUUCGAGUCAUAGAAUUCAUAGUAUAAUAUAUGAACCAAGAGACACAAUUUACAUCACUGUUUGUGUCGAAAAUAAUAAUAACUAGAUCUCGAUCCGCGCAACCGCGCAUUUUUUGUUUUCAUUUAUUUUUAUAAAAAAUAUUUUGUUUUCAAUUCUAAAUUGGUAUAUAUUAUAUUAUAUAUGUGUCUAUUAAUUUUUAAAACAUAAUAAGUUUACUUUAUAUUUUUUCAUUGAAUAGAUUGUUUCAAACUUUCACAUGUAUUUGUAUCUUCUCUACAUAUAUAUUUUUGGAUUAUUAUUUCAUUAUUAAAAUCGUAACUAUAUAUAACAUUAGUAAAAUAUUGUUUUAUUGUCAUAUUCAAAGAUAUUGUAACAUUUCACAAAUUUAGAAAGUUUUUAAAAAAUUAAACUUUUCGCUUCAUAAAUUUAUAUUCUCAAGUAAAUAAUUAAACAUUUAGUUUUUGUUUAAUUUUUAAAAUAAACUAUAUAGUUUAAACUUUGUUUUCAUUGGUUUAAGGUAGUAAAGAUUAAUCAUUAUUAGAUAAUAUGAUUUUUGUUAUUUAAAAAAAAAUCUUUAUAAUUUUAAAAGUUAACAUAGACAAAUAUUUAAAUAUUUAGCAUAUAGAUGUAUAAUAUUAUAACAUUAAAUGAUAUUCCCUCUGUUUCAUAUUAAGUGUCGUUUUGGAUCUGUGCACACGGAUUAAGAAAACAAUUAAUUUUUCACAUUUCCUAUAUAAAAACAUAAUUAUCAAUACACCUAACCAUAUUUCAACCAAUAGAAAAAUAAAUUACAGAAUAAAACUAAUAAAUUUUGCAUUGAAAAUCGAAAACGACACUUAUUUUGUAACGAAAAAAAUUCUCUACAACGACACUUAUUCAGAAACGGAAGGAAUAUCUAUUUAAUUUAUACUAUCUAUAAAUCUAAUAGAUCAUCUAUUGUUUAAAUUCAAUUAUUGAUAGCCCAAUAAAAAUUUCUAUUAGAUCCAAAAUUUAAAUGAUAAGAUUAUAUAUUAAAUGUAACACGACUUUCUAUGAAUAAGUCCAUUAGGUCAAUUUUUUUAAAAAUCACACAUGAAUCAAGGUUAUGACUUCUGUUUUAAUAUAUAAAGAUUAAGGUUCCACAAAACAAAAAAAAAGGAAAGAACCUUGCAGCCGGUAGGGUUCGCACUAAUUUGAUCAAAAGGUGUAACAGGCUUUCCAAUGAAAAAUGUGAUUUCCAAAUCAGACAGAUUCUUAAGAUCUGAAGCAAAUGGGGUGGCAUAGUAGUAUGUGCAAAACCUGAAACAAUUAGAAGAAAGGGUCAGACUUGCAUUGAAAUUUGCAAACUGGUAUUAACAUCAAUGUCUUUCUCGAGAAGAAACCAUCAGUCGACUAUAAAUAAAUAUUGUCGUAUUUGUUAGAAUGUAUGGCUCUCAAAGGAAUAACAUGGUAUUCUCAAUCUACGCUUAUUAAAAAGUUAGAUUGACCAUUUCCAAGAUCAUACAUACACCUUGGUAGUGGUACCAGUAAACCCAGCACAAACCUUCAACAUAUUUUAAUACCUACAAGGGAAAGUAGGUCAACAGACCUGAUGACAGUUUCAUUUUCUUCUAAAACUGUCACAUGAGUCAUUUCAAGAAAGUAGUUCAAAUCUCGCUAUAAACCUCCUUAAAAGAUAAAAGAGAUGUGUAGAUAUUUGAGGGUCAAAAAUCGUCAGAAUGAGACUUUAUGGGAUGUCAAGAGUUAUAAAUGCGCACCAAAACACAUUUAGCACAUGACUGACGAAACCUUUACUCCAUUUUAUACGUAUAACAAAUCAUCAGAAGAGUGACAGAGAAGUCGAUUGACAUAAACUCACCAAGUCUUGUAUGAUUUGCUCAGUUUCCUCUGAAAUGGACGUACUAAAUUUCUCAGCAUAAUACCUCUCCUUGUAGCCGGGCUCUCCCAGCUUAAUAUACACAAAAGAAAGAUCAAUUUGAGGUGUAUCUCUUAAACAAUUCCCACCGUAAAUAAAGAGACCAAAAUCUCUCCAGCUUACAGGCUCAUACUGAGAGAAGGUUGCAACAAUCUUACCUUAUUGUCUAUCGGUCCAGGUGGUAUUUCAGAUGGGCCUCUUCUUGAUAUUUGUUUCAUUUCUUCAUUGUUCUCCAUUAACUGAUACCAAAAUUAGCACACCGUUAGUCAGAGCAUAUGCAGUUUGAACAACAAUAAUAACCCAUUGAUUAGAAAGGGAGUUACAGAGAGCUAGCGGACCCGGGGCUAGAGGGUUAGUGACGAGCCUAAGAGAUUGAAAAAUUGGUUCAGAUAGCUUUGUGCUGCAUGCACGAGGAGCCAGCUCUGAGGCCCACAAUGGCGGCCGUUGUUAUGUUCUGAGGGGAGCAUACCGAUAGAGAAGCACACAAUUCUUAGCUGCAUCCUCUCUUUUAAUUGGUUCACCCUCACAGAGAUUCUAUGUAUCUAGAGCUUGAUCAGUCUCGAUAACUUUGAACUCCACACUCCUCAUUCCUCUAGAGCUUGAUCAGUCUCGAUAACUUUGAACUCCACACUCCUCAUUACUGCUCUCACAGAUGGCAAUAAAAAAUUAUGAUACUGACAUAAAUAAAAAGCAUAAACUCCAAAAGACGGAGAUUGACAAUGGAUGAUAUGAAAGAUAACUAAAGAUUCUAUCUAACUUACAUUUGAGGUAAGCAUCAAAGAGGUUUCCGGUGACUCCUUCGACGGUGUCAUCAACAGGCAAGAUAGGCACACGCUUUCAAUACUUGACGUCAGGGCAUUGGUGUACAGAGAUGACAUCACCCAGUCUAACCUUCAAGUUGGACCUUACGACCUUGUUCAUUCUGAUUCAUCAGCAAGCAAAAUGAAGACAGUGUCCUUCCUUUUCUUACCCUGCAAAGCGAGAAGUAGAUCAUUUUUAAUGACAUGACAAGUAGACCCUAACUCAAUGCAUAUACAAAUAUAAUAACAAAAAAAAGAAGAUUCAGGUUGGUUUGACAUGGUGAUUGCCGAAAUUAACCAGAGAGAGAGAACAGGAAGGUAAAGAGAUGGGAGGAGAACUCAUUAGGUUUGCAGAUUUACGGCCAAGAUGAAGUGUGGAAGAACGCUAACAACUAUUGAAGCCCUAAUGACUUAAUAAUAAUCGAACCAAACUUAGAAAACCCAAAUCAGACCAAACCAAACUAAUUAACCUAUUCGACCAAAAUAAAUAAACCAGAAAUUAAGUGGGUCCCACGUGGACAGUAAGCAAAAAUUGAUCUAUUAUAAUAUAUAGACUAGAUUUUGAUCCGCGCUUUCAAAGCGCGGGAUCGUUUCUUUUUUAAAUUUUAUUUAAAUUAAUAAAUAUUUGUCUAAUCUAUAAUUUAAUAGAUUUUUUUAUUUGUUUAUAGUCAAUUUUUAUAAUAUUGUCUUUUUUAUUUUUUUAAUUAUUAUUAAAAUAAAAAUGUAUGUCCUAUAUUAUUCUACGUAGAUCAUGUUGGUUUGUUCGAAGGUGUGGGUUUGAAAGAAAACCGGUGUUACCUAUUUAUAAUAUUGAUCGGAUUCAAAGCGAGGUGUUAGGUUUUAGGAGAAACUUGGGGAGAAAGUUGAGAGUCUUCUCUUUAAAAUCGAAUCUCUCUAUAUUUUAAUAUUAGUUUUUGGAAAAUUCAGUUACCAUGUCAAACAAUUAAAAUAUUUUUCUGUGUGUUCCUCAAGUUAGGGGAUUAUCUUUUUAUUUGAUUUGAUUCCGUAAAUCUCUGAGUACGAAAUUGGAUUUAAGACGACUUAUUGGGCUUAAAAAACGAAAAUGUAAGUAGCAAAUUGGUUGGAAUUUUUAUUUUUGAAAAACAUUUAAAACAAUUGAAAAAUAAUUGAAAAAGGGAAUGAAAUGUUUUGUAAUUAAUAAGAAAAUUUAGGGGCAUAUUCAUAUGAAGUAUUCUGCUUUAAUAGUAUAGAUUACCAAUUACAGAGUUAAAUCACUCUUUUGAGUAAAAUAGACAUCAUGACAUGUACAACAAAUGUACUGAAUCAGAUAAGAACGUUUAAAUUAAUAAUUCACUAUAGACUCAUGUGCUGAUAGUUUUAUGUUUUUAUACUUUUGAUUUGAGGAUGUUAGAUAUAGUAAAAGAAUAUAGAUUCACUACAAGAAAACAUCGGUAUUCUGACGGACAUUCCGACGGAAAAUGAAAUCCUCGGAAUUUCCUCGGAAUAUACCGACGGAAUUCCGAGGAAACAUCAAUCCGUCGGAAUAUUCCGAGGAAAUUCCGACGAACUAGUGAUCGAUCGAUGCGUUUUUGGACAUAUACCCAUCGAUCGAUCACAUUGUUACGCUUUGGUCCAUCAUAGUGAUCGCUCGAUGCGUUUUUGGCCAUAAAUACAUCGAUCGAUCCGUGUAUAAAAAAACAUUCGAGAUUUUGAGACCCCAAACACUAGUUCCUCAGAAUUUCCUCGGAGUAUUCCGAGGAAAUUCUAAGGAACACUUGAUAUCCUUGAUCGAUCGAUGGGAUAAUCUCUUCGAUCGAUCACAUUCUUACGCUUUGGUCCAUCUUAGUGAUCGAUCGAUGUGUUUUUGGACAUAAAAACAUCGAUCGAUCCGUGUAUAAAAAAACAUUCGAGAUUUUGAAACCCCAAACACUAGUUCCUCAGAAUUUCCUCGGAAUAUUCCGAGGAAAUUCUGAGGAACACUUGAUAUCCUUGAUCGAUCGAUGGGAUAAUCUCAUCGAUCGAUCACAUUGUUACGCUUUGGUCCAUCUUAGUGAUCGAUCGAUGCGUUUUUGGGCAUAAAUACAUCGAUCGAUCCGUUUAUAAAAAAACAUUCGAGAUUUUGAAACCCUAAACACUAGUUCCUCAGAAUUUCCUCGGAAUAUUCCGAGGAAAUUAUGAGGAAGAAAAGGGUUUCCUCAGAAUUCCCUCGGAAUAUUCCGAGGAAAUUCCGAGGAAAUAGGGUUUUUAAACCGAAAACAACGUUUUGCGGUUUGAAUAACACCUAUAUAACCCUUAUUAAGUGUCUUACGUUCAUUAUGAAGUCAAAAAUUUGUUCAUUACCCUAUAAUAAACACUUUUCCGAUUGUAUGAACGAAAUCCCCACAACAUAAGAGAAACACUUAUACACUUUAAUGAACGGUAAAGGGAAUACUUACAAUUCGUUUUGAAAUUUGUUAUUUCAUGGUUUAUGCUCAUCUAUACAAAGAAUCUUCAAUGGUAUGCAUUACAAUUGUAUAAGAAAUGAAAUACGGCAAAAAAAAUUGAUGUUUUGAAACCCCAAACACUAGUUCCUCGGUAUUUCCUCGGAAUAUUCCGAGGAAAUUCCGAGGAACAAUAUAAAUUAAUAGAAAUACAUGCACAUGAUAUUCUUUUUCCUCGAAUUAAUGAAAAUAUUCCGAGGAAAUUCCGACGGAUAUUUAAGUGGCCGUCGGAAUUUCCUCGGAAUAUUUUCAUUUAACCGGGCAAACAAGCCGCCAAAUAUUUCGCGAAAAUUGAAAUUGAAAAUACUGAGGGAAUUCCGACGGAAAAUAUCCGUCAGACCCAAGGUUUUAUAAACUCGAACCGCAUUUUCUUCCCCAUUUCUCUCUUCUUCCCCAUUUCUCUCUUCUUCCUCUCCGGCGAUCUCUCUCUCCUUCCGGCGUUCUCCACCUUCUCUCGCGACGAUCUCUCCGGCGAAUCCUUUCCAUUCCUUUACAAAUCAUGUAAGGACCUUAUCCCACUCUCUUAGGUCCUAUUUGUUAAGUUUUUAAGUAGAUUUGAUGAUUUUAGAAGUUUUUUGAUAGAUUUUUGUUAGGGUGAUUGGGUAGGAUUGUGAUUUGUUGUGUAAUAGGUUUAAAAUUGUGAUUUGGUUGUGUUGAAUUGAUUUAGAAUUUUUUUUAUAAAUUGUUUAUUAUUUUUGUAUUUACAAAACGUUUAUAUAAAUUCGAUUUUACAAAACGUUUUUGUAUAUAAAUUCGAUUUUUGGAUUUAUAAAAGAUGAUUUCAUAUUUAUAAAAAUAUUUAUAUUUAUUAAAACUAAUUUUGUAUUUAUAAAACAUUUUUUUGAUUUAUAAACACUAUUUUUUUAUUUUUGUAUUUAUAAAAACUAUUUUUAAAUAUACAAAACGUUCUUUGUAUAUAAAUUCGUUUUUUGGAUUUAUAAAAGAUGAUUUCAUAUUUUAAAAUUAAUUUUGUAUUUAUAAAACAUUUUUUGAUUUAUAAACACUAUUUUAUUAUUUUUUGUAUUUAUAAAUACUAUUUUGUAUUUAUAAAAAGAUGAUUUCAUAUCUAUAAAAAUAUUUAUAUUUAUUAAAACUAAUUUUGUAUUUAUAAAACAUUUUUUUUAUUUAUAAACACUAUUUUAUUAUUUUUGUAUUUAUAAAAACUAUUUUGUAUUUAUAAAAAGAUGAUUUCAUAUUUAUAAAAAUAUUUAUAUUUAUUAAAACUAAUUUUGUAUUUAUAAAACAUUUUUUUAUUUAUAAAAACUAUUUCAUUAUUUUUUGUAUUUUAAAUAUGUUUUCUAUUUCAAUUUUAAUUUUAUAUUUUUGAAUUUCAAUUUAAAAAAAUAAAUUUAUAAUUUUUUUUUUGAAUUUUGGAAAUAUUCCGAGGAAGUGUAUCCCUCGGAAUAUUCCGACGACAUAUUCCUCGGAAUAUUCCGAGGAAUUUCCGACGAAAAAAGUCCUCGGAAUAUUCCGAGGAAAUGAAUUUCCUCGGAAUUCCGUCGGAAAUUUCCGAGGGAUUUCCGAGGAAAGAUGAAUUUCCGAGGAGUUAUUUCCGAGGAUUUUUUUCGUCGGUAUGUCGUCGGAAUAGCGUUAUUCCGACGACAUACCGACGAUUUUUUCCCUCAGUAUGCCGCUGUUUUCUUGUAGUGAUUGUUGUUAAUCUUAAAAGUGUCAUGUUAGGAGGUAUGGUCACUUGUUAUCGCUUUGUAUAAAUACUAGGAUAAGAGGGUGAGUUUAUUUGUAUAUAUUAUCGAUAGUUUCUUUUAUAUAUUUGAUCAUUUUAUUUAUAUAUAUAAAAUAUUUUUUUUUGUUAUUAUAUAAUUUCUUUCCGAUGGAUCAGAUAAAUUUUUAUUAAAAAUAAUGGAACAAAACUAUAAUUAAUACAUAAUGGGUUGAUCGGAUUGGACAUUAAACAAAUUAUGACAUAAAAAUUUUAUUUUUUCUAUCGAACACAUUAUUUAAAAAAAUGAACAGUAUUGUUUUCACAGUUGAAUUAUUUUGACUUUUAUCUUCCAUAUGGUUUUGAAAGCUUUCAAAUCAACCAUCGAAUUGAUAUAUACAUGCCAUUUUAAUGUUUUUAGUCGUAUACUUAAGGAAACUUACAUUUUUGUAAUUUAAAGUCGUUUUAAAAAAUUCAAAAUAUAACAUAUAAGAAAAAAUCUAACAUAUAAGAAAAAUAUAACAUAUAAGGUGUCAUCAUUUUUGUAUUUUAAAGUCGUUUAAAAAAAUAUAACAUAUAAGGUUUUCUCAUUUUUGUAAUUUAAAGUCUUUUUAAAAAAUUCAAAAUAUAACAUAUAAGAAAAAAUCUAGUUUUUUAAUUAUAUGGUUAAUGUGAUUGUUUAUUUUUUUUUUAAUAAUAUAAAAUUAAACAAAAAUGAAAAAGGAUGCAAAAAUUGUUAUCAAAUCUUUAUUAUUCAUAAUCAUUAAUUGUCAUAUAUAUGUAAAUCAUAUUAGGUAAUUCUGUAGUUUUUAUUUAAGAAAAAAAUACAAACUUUUUAUAUUUUAGGUUAAUAUAAUGUUCUCUAGUGGACAUUAAACAAAUUAUGACAUAAAACUUUAUUUUUUCCAUCGAACACAUUCUUGAAAAAAGUGAACAGUAUUGUUUACACAGUUAAAUUAUUUUGACUUUUAUCUUCCAUAUGGUUUUGAAAGCUUUCAAAUCAACCAUCGAAUUGAUACAUGUCAUUUUAAUGUUUUUAGUCGUAUAUUUAAGGAAAACUUACAUUUUUGUAAUUUAAAGUCGUUUUAAAAAAAUUUAAAAUAUAACAUAUAAGAAAAUUCUAACAUAUAAGAAAAAUAUAACAUAUAAGGUGUCCUCAUUUUUGUAUUUUAAAGUCGUUUAAAAAAAAAAUAUAUAUAACAUAUAAGGUUUCUUCAUUUUUGUAAUUUAAAGUCAUUUUAAGAAAUUCAAAAUAUAACAUAUAAGAAAAAAUCUAAUUUUUUAUUAUAUGGUUAAUGUGAUUGUUUAAUUUUUUUUAAUAAUAUAAAUUUAAACAAAAAUGAAGAAGGAUGCAAAAAUUGUUAUCAAAUCUUUAUUAUUCAUAAUCAUUAAUUGUCAUAUAUAUGUAAAUCAUAUUAGGUAAUUCCGUAGCUUUUAUUUAAGGAAAUAAUACACAGUUCCUAUAUUUUAAGUUAAUAUAAUGUUCUCUAGUGUUAUAUAAUUAUGGAAUAAUGUGACACCAUUAGAUUAAACUAUACUUUAUAUUAGAUGCUUUAGAAUUCUUUGAAAUGAAAUUUAGAAGGCAUUUAGAGUGCCCUCUAGGAUUUGAAUUUUUUUUUUAAUUAAUACAAAAUGAAAGUUCUAAUUUUUCAAAUGCUUCUCAAUUAGUAUAUAGGGGAUAAUCAUAAUCAGAUCCAAAACGUAAUGAUCAUCGCAUCAUAUAGAUCGUCUAGAACUCAAAAUCUAUAUGAAGCAAUUACGAUGAAAAUAAAUGAAAACCUCAGAACAUCACUACAACAUUUACUCUUGGAAUAAUAGUCAUGAUUUAUUGUUCAUAUAUUAUUAUGUUGAUAUACUAUGAAUGUGUUUUUGUAUUGGAUCUUUUUUAGUUUAAAAUUAAAAACAUGCCAAGGUAAAAUUCAAAUAGGACUAAAAUUAAAAACAUGCCAAGGUAAAAUUCAAAUAAGAAUCUAAAUUAGAUUAUAUUGCUACAAACAUUGCGUAAAGUUUCUGAUAAAUUGAAACUACAAUCAUGCUCCAAGAAGAGCACAAGAAUCUGCUGAAGUUCAUACAAAGAAUCCAAUACAGCUUCAAUAGCAAAAGGAAUCAUUCACCUAAACAAGAGAAUACCAACUAGAUUAGAUCUUUUUAAGCUUCGACUUCAACUUGCUUAGGAACAUGUUCAGCUGGAACCAACAACCCAAGACCCAUUUUACUCUCACCACCCUUCUCCUUAUACAACGGAUUCGACGUAACGAUCCGCACACCAGAGUCCUUGCGGAUCUCCAAAACCUCAGGCAACCCAUCCGAACACCCCUUGGACAUUCCCACAUCAAUCCUAAUAGCUUUAUCAUCACAAACACCGUUGAUCCCACCAUCUUGUAUCGUAUGCCCCAUGACCAUCCUCUUAACACCAGGAAUAGUCGAAAGCGCAUGCUCAAGCGCCGAACAAUCGCAUUUAUGAGGCGUUUCAUCAGAAAACUUCCUCAACCACACCACAGAGUUCCCUCCUCUACAAUACACAGGCGCAUACCUCCCUCCUCCUCCUCCAAUCCAACCCCUAACCUCCUCGUUGAUCCUCUCGAGCCCAUACUCUAUAUGCUCAGCUAAAAGACCUCCAUGAACGAACACGGAGUCUCCAACAACAGCAACCGUCUGAUUCUUGGACAAGAACCUCUUCGCAACGGGACCUUCAGGUCUCAACGCAGCGAUCCUAGCUCUAAUCCCUUCGAAGCAUUCAGGUUUAGCACGUGGGAAGCACGUGGGGAUCCCUUCGUAAGGAUCUUUAACAUUCUCAAGACCUUGGCACAAGCUCUUCAUCUCGUUCCCUAAGCAAUACCAAUCUAACCAAACCUGAACUUCCUCUAAUCCUUUCUUGGUAACAUACCUAAAGUCACCUUCUACGUUCAUGAUCUCGUGGUUCCCGUUCAUAGUCACGAUCUUACCUCCUGACCUCUCGGCCUCUCGCUUCAGCCUCUCGAGGAAGUAGAGAAUCUUCAUCUCAUCUCCGCCGCGAUCGAGCACGUCGCCGACCUGAACCACCAUGGCGGAUCCGCCUGUCCAUCGAUCAGACGAAUCGAUCAAUCCGGCGAGUCUGAACGCUUCCUUGGAUUUCUCGAGAUCGCCGUGGAGAUCGCCGAUUGCGACGAGGCGGUCAGGUUUCUCGAAACGCGUUUGCGGGAUCUCGUGCGGUGGAGUGGGAUCGUGCGGCGGGAAGAUGCCGGAGAAGGAGUAGUCGACGAAGGUGUCGACGAAGGAGGAGAUGAGAUUUGGGAUGUUUUUGCAGAUUCCGUUGGGGUUUGUUUCUCUGCUUGACAUUUCUCGAUGUGGGUGGUUCGAGUAGGCGAGGAAGCAAUAAUGGUGAAAUACAAUGCGUUUUAUUUUGUUAGUUUUGGAGUGCAUAUAUUAUGACCUGGAAUUGAAAGAACCAAAUCAAAUUACAAUAUCCGAACUGAACCGAACAAUCAUGGUGGUGUACCAAGACUAACCUUUCGAUCUAUGUGUUGGUUAUUAUAUACGUAGAACAAUGCGCUUUAGUUUGUCAAUUAAAAGGUAAUUUAUUCCAUAAUAAAUUAGGUCAAAUUUCCAAAAUAGCACAUUUCUAAAUUUAUGUCACAAAAAUAACUCUCAAAAACUAAAAUGACCAAAAUAGCAUUUUAUCUUUUGAAAAAUUUAAAUUUUUUUUAUUUUUCAAAAUUUGAAAUCUUAUCUCAAAACCCCACUCCCCAAUUCUAAACCCUAAAACCUAAACUCUAAACCCUAAACUCUAAACCAUAAACCCUAAAUCCUAAAUCAUAAAUCUCACCCCUUAACUCUAAACUCUAAAUCCUAAACCCCACCCCUAAACUUUAAACCUUAAAC